This 79923-nucleotide long non-coding RNA is filed under the name Gossypium barbadense (sea-island cotton). Its description in RNAcentral is "long non-coding RNA (GBAR_LNC013885)". Lineage: Eukaryota; Viridiplantae; Streptophyta; Magnoliopsida; Malvales; Malvaceae. The record is from RNAcentral.
GAACACUCUUCAUUUCCUUAUUUCACCCUUCCUCUUCUCAUGCUUCCUUUCUCUUGUCUCGUCUUUUUCACCUCCUCAAACUCAUCUCCCUCAGCAAUGCCUUGAUGACCAGAGAGCUCCUCUGCUGCAAUUGCAGCGUCAUCUUUACUGUGCCCCUAAUUUUACUUUCUCUUCCAAUUUUGACCUCUGGGAUGUCAACACUGAUUGUUGUUCUUGGGAAGGAGUCACAUGUGAUGCUUAUGGUCAUGUCGUUGGCAUUGAUCUUAGUUACAAAAACCUUUCAGGCAGCUUCCACUCCAUAUUCGAUCUCCAUCAUCUUCAACACCUGAAUCUUGCUGGAAACAACUUUAAUACCACUCUGUUUUCCUAUGGGUUUGAUAAACUCCAAAAUCUAACUCAUCUCAACCUUUCAAGCUCAUGUUUCCAUGGCCAAAUUCCAGUGGAGAUCUCAUUCUUAAAAAGGUUAGUCUCUCUUGAUCUAUCCAAUCAAGAUUCUUGUUAUUUGAGAUAUUACAAAGUUCUGUACCCUGCCUUCUACAACUAUUACAAACCUCAACAGCCUCUUAAAUUAGAGAAUCCAAACUUCAAGACAUUAAUCAAGAAUUUGAGGUUUCUCACAGCGCUUUAUUUGGAUAGUGUGGACAUUUCAACUCAAAGUGCUAAAUGGUGUGAAACCACAUCUCUUGUACUUCCAAACCUGCAUGUGUUGAGUCUGUCAAGCUGUGGUUUGAAAGGUCCAUUAUGUUCUUCUCUCUCAAGACUCUCUUUUCUUUCCAAACUUAUCCUUGAUGGGAACCCAAUCUCUUAUUUACCUCCCAAUUUCUUGGAAACUUCCUCUCGUUUGGUUUCUCUCAGUUUGAGUGGUUGCAAUUUGAAUGGCCAUUUUCCAACCGGAAUUCUCUUAUCGCCAAAAAUUCAAAGCAUUGACAUUUCAUUUAAUCCCCAACUUAUGGGUCAGUUGCCAGAAUUUCCAGCAAACAAUGCAUUACUGAGUCUGUCACUUUAUCAUACAAAUUUCAGUGGAAAACUACCUGAAUCGAUUGGUAAUCUUAAGUUCCUGAAAAAUUUAGAGCUUUCUUAUUGCAAUUUUUUUGGACCUAUUCCAUCAUCAAUUGCAAAUCUUAGUCACCUGGUCAACCUACUUCUAGCAGGGAACAAGCUUUCUGGAUCAAUACAUUCUUCUUUAUUUACUCUUCCAUCGUUGAAGAACCUGUAUCUUGGAGCCAAUCAAUUGGUUGGGAAAAUUGAUGAGUUCCCCAAUGCAUCUUCUUCUUCGAUUGAGAGAUUAUAUAUUAGCUAUAAUUAUUUAACAGGACCAAUCCCAAAGUCAAUCCUCCAACUUCCAAGGCUUGAAGUGCUUGAGAUCGGAGAAAAUAGCUUCAGUUCCCUGAAGCUUGACAUGUUUGUCCAACUCAAGAACUUAAAGGGUCUCGACUUAUCCAACGUAAGCUUGUUAAUUGAAAGCGACAACAGAAGUCUUACUUUUCCCCAAUUAGAGAGCCUAAGCCUAAGGUUAUGCAAUCUUACUGAAUUUCCAGAAUUCAUUAAAAGGCAAGGCAAGUUGGUUGACUUAGAUCUUUCUAACAAUCAUAUCCAUGGUGUUGUGCCUAAUUGGUUGUGGAAGAGCAGUCUUUCAUCCUUAGACCUUUCUUUCAAUGUGAUUGAUUUUCCAAAACAACUUCCUUUAAGUGAUGCAAACUUCUUUUUCCCAAUGUUGAGGCGAUUGUGUUUGAGGUCCUGUAACAUAAGUGCGUUUCCAGAGUUCUUAAAGAGUCAAGAAAAUUUAGAAUAUCUCGAACUUUCAAAUAAUAAAAUAAGUGGUGCAAUACCAAACUGGGUGUGGAAGAAAAGUUUGCGGUAUCUGUUUCUUGCUAAUAACCAUCUCUCAUCUUUGGACCAACUUUUACCCAAUCAGAGUUCAACUUCUUCACAGGGCUCUUUCAUUUUCGACACAUCUUCUAACAAUUUGAGUGGCCCAAUUCCAAAUUGGUUAUGCAAUAUGAGUCAACUUUACAGAUUCAAUGCAUCUUAUAACAAUUUUAGUGGCUCAAUUCCAAAUUGCUUGGACAAUAUGAGCCAACUUGACACUGUCGAUGUAUCUUAUAACAAUUUGAGUGGCCCAAUUCCAAAUUGCUUGGGCAAUAUGAGUGCUCUGAUGUGGUUGGGUUUGCAAGGAAAUAACUUCAGUGGAAUGAUACCAAAAUUUUCAAAAGCAACCCAACUGCGGUUUCUCAAAGUUAGUGAGAAUAGAUUGGAAGGGAAGUUGCCCAGAUCAUUAGCUGAAUGCACUCAGCUUGAAGUUUUGGACGUGGGAAACAACAAGAUGAAUGAUACAUUCCCUUUUUGGUUGGAGAAAUUGCCUUACUUGACGGUUCUAAUAUUGCGGGAAAACAGAUUUUAUGGUCAAAUUAAACAUUUCAAACAUAAAUCUGUUUUCCCAACUUUGGAUGUAUUGGACAUUGCUUCAAACCAGUUUUCUGGUGAACUAUCCAUUGAUUUCCUUCAACCCACUAGACUAAGGUCACUCAAAAUAGGUGGGAAUAAAUUGGAAGGGAAGCUGUCGAGAUCAUUAGCCAAUUGCACAGCACUUGAGGUUCUGGACCUUGGAAAUAAUAUGGUUCAUGAUACAUUCCCAUUUUGGUUAGAGAAGCUACCUUCCUUGAAGGUUCUCAUUUUGCGAGCAAACAGAUUCUACGGCACAAUUACAGAAUUCAACACAGAACGUGGGUUUCCAAAGCUACGCAUUUUGGACAUUGGUUCCAACAAAUUUUCAGGCGACUUGUCCGUUGAAUUUUUGCAAAGCUUGAAGGCAAUGAUGCAGAUAACAAAUGAGGAUAAAGCUAAGCGGGUUUACAUUGGGGACGACUAUUAUCAAGACUCUGUGACAAUUGUUAACAGAGGGAUUGAAAUGUUCUACCAAAGAGUCUUGACAAUUCUUACUUGUCUUGACCUUUCCAACAAUAGUUUCCAUGGGAGAAUACCAGAAGAAAUACAAAUGCUGAGGUCACUCAGAGUGAUGAACUUAUCCAACAAUGGCUUCUCUAGUGAAAUCCCAUUAGCACUUCAAAAUCUAAAAGACCUCGAAUCUUUGGAUCUCUCAAGAAACAAGCUGUCAGGGAAGAUUCCUCCACAACUUACAAGUCUAACUUUCCUGGCAGCAUUGAACUUGUCAUACAACCAACUUGAAGGGAGCAUACCACAAAGCAACCAAUUCAUUACAUUUACAAAUGAUUCCUACCGUGGGAACCCAAAAUUGUGUGGGCUGCCAUUGUCAAGGAAAUGCAAUGAAGUUGGUCUUCCAAUGCCACCACCUCCAGUGGAAGAUGAAGAUUCAUGGUUAAAUGCUCUGUCUACUUGGAAAAUUGCAUUGAUAGGUUAUGCUAGCGGAUUAGUCGUUGGGCUAUGUAUUGGAUAUACAGUGCUGAAUGAGUUGGGAAACAAAUGGGUUUACAAGUUCAAGUGUGGGAAAAGAAAUAGAAGAAGAUGUAGGUGACUCCAUCAGAAUUCUUGCUUCAAAAUUAGCUGGUAAGCAUUUGUCUUUCUACUUUGAACUGAUAGUUGUUGAUAUAUAUAUAUAUAGGUUUUCAUAACCUCAUUUUUUGCUGUCAUUACCAAGUUCACUAUCAUAUCGUACUUGUAAUUUUAUGUUACCAUUGAGCAAUGCAGGAGGUACUUGAAGCAGGACAUGGAAUGUACAGUUGUGAGGUUCAUGAAGAAUGUAGGCAAUGAUCCUAACAAGAUCAAUCCACUGGUUUGUAAUUUUGCUUUAUAUGCACUUUUUUCCUGUUGUAGUUUUCUAUGAGUAUAAAUAAGUGUUUAUUCAUUUUGCAUCCAGGUCCCUGUGGAUUUGGGGGAUGCAAUGUUUCACUGCUACUGAAUUUCCAAGCUAAUAAUGAUAUUAUAAACAGGGAAAUGGCUGCCCAAGCUUUCUUUUAUAUGCAAUUUACUUCAAUUUUUUUAUCUUUAGAAUAUUUGUACAGCUGAGGAGAUUUGAUGGCAUGAUGUUGAUGAAAGCCAUAUCUGAUGGACAUUGGACUGAUUGUGUAAAGAGACGCAGAUGCUGCUACUCCCAUCCUUUGCUCUUCCAAACAGACGUGAGUUUUAUAUUUUAUGAAUCACGUGUUGGGCUUUAGGACCGGGUGUAAAGGGUGGACCUGUUGGUCCGGGUUUUAGUUCAGCCCGUCACUUAUUUUUAUACUAGUUUAUUUAUACUUUCAAUGAUAGUUUUAUUAAUUUAAAAAAUAUGGUUGAAUUAAGUAAUAAUAUGAUAAAAUAAUAAUAAUUAAAAUUUAAUGAAAUAAAUUAUGUCUUAACUUUCCAAUGUUAGCGAAAGGCCAACAAUAUCUCACCUUAUUAUUUUCUUUGUUAAUCCAAAAUUAAAAAGUUCAAAUUAGAAUGUGAUUUAGAGUUUGAAGACUUAAUUAAAUUUUUUUGAAGUUUAGAGUUCAAUUUAACAUAUAAUCCAUAGUUUAGGGACAUCAAGUGAAUUAACCCUUUGAUAAAUCCUAACAUAUUCAUAAGUUGCAUACUCAUUAAUAAAUUAGGACUAAAAUGCUUAUUGGUAAAUUGAUUUCACAUAUAAGUUAAUAUAUUUUUGGGUGCUAUACCAAAGUUUAAUUAAAAGAUUUUAAUGGUACACUUUUACAUUUUAAAAAUUUAAAUUAUAUAUAAACAAUUAUGAUAUAAAAUCGAGACGGCCCACAUCUAAAAUAUUUUAAGCAUCAAAUACAUGAAAAAAAAAAUUCUAAACCCAAAUAUUUUAAGCAUUCGAAACAUUGGCAUUGGCAUCAAUUAGAACACUUGGAUUGGAUAAUGAAAAAAAAAAAAUCCAAACCCAUCUAUUUAACAACGGUAUGUUUAUUAUAUGAUUUUCAAUACAAAAUCAGAUAAUUAAUCGGACACUGUUGAGUUAACUAAUACUUACAAUGUUCAAUUAAAUGAUUUUUUCCAAAAAAAAUUAAUUGUUUAUAUUUCGAAUCCAAUUCAACCAAUAAAAAGCCAGUUAUAUUUGAAUGCGAAUGCAAAGCAGUGGAUAUAACGUAAGGGACUCAAUCCAAUUUGGCAUUCUAAAUGAUGUCUUAAUUACAAUGUGGUACGCUUUCCAGAGUUGGCAAACAACCUAAAGCACUUGUUUAAUUUAUCUUUGAAAAGUGAUAAAAAUAUUAAUAACUAAAAUUAAAAAACUGCAAGAACCAUUAUCUUUCACAAAUUAUUCAAAAUCAUAUGGUAUUUGUAGUCGUUGGCUUAUAUUUUGAAAAGAUUGAUGUUACAAACUAACUCUGAAUUUCCUAAGCUUAUUUUUUGUCCCUUGACACACUUCGCUAUCAUAUGGUAUUUGUAGUCGUAGGCUUGUAGCAUUGACAUUCAUUUUAUCAUUUCGCAAUGCAAGAGGUACUGAAACAGGCUAAGCUGAAACGGCUCAUUAGGUUUGCUACUCCAAAAGACUCUUCGAAAAGAGCAAUGAAAGAAGCGACAAAAGGGUCCUUGGCUGUUUGUGAUGAUGCACUUACAUAUACUCACUUCUAUACGAUUCAUGUAAAUCCUUUCUAUAACUUAUUUCCUAGGAAGCAUUCCUCUAUUAGAGCAACUAAUCCAUAAUUCUUAAAUCCAGAUACUGUAAUUGGUUUUUUUUUUUUUUCUCUCGAUUUUGUAGCAGGGGCCAAACUCCCCAAUGUCUUGGCUACCAAUCUUCUUUAAUUUAAUCGAACUCAUUUAUGGUAAGGAUGAGUUUUGGAAUGCUCUAUGAAUAUUGUGAGUUGAACAUGAGCAGCAUACUUGAUAUGCAAAAUCUAAUAUCAAGAAUCUCCCUUGUGAGGUUCAUUUUUGCUUCAAUUCACAGCCAUUUGGGGUACGUAAUUUGUCUCUAGCACUGAACUUUCAUGCCAAAUAAUGCUAUAUUAUAAACAAGGAUCAUGGCUUUUCCAAGCCUUCUUUAAUAUGAAUUUACUCUUUAGUUCAGAAUUUUAUUUUCAAAUUAUUUUUGUGCAGCUUGGAAGAUAAUAUGACGAGUUGAUGUUGAUGAAAGCCACAUUUAACACCGUGAUUCUGCAAAGAGACACCACUGCUAGAUGUGCCUCUUUGAAACAGGACAAGCUCAAGCAAAGAUCGUUAACUUUAUCUUUGAAAACAAUGGUAAAAGUUUCUAACUAAUUAUCUUUUCCUUGACAUCUUCUUUAAUCAUGCUUGAAUUAAGUUUAAGCAUAUGAAAGACAUGAUUGUUGGUAGAUAAAUGAGAAGCUUCAUGUUCUAAUUUUCAGGCUAAUGGUCUAAGAAGACAGUAAGGCGUGUUGAUUGCAGUUUGUUAUCUAUUCUAUGGAAAAGAAAACGUGCAUUGCCAACAUAAAGUACAGAAAGGAUAUGCAUAAGGUGCAAAGGCUUAUCACCGAAGCAAGUCUACAGCUUGUUUAAGGCGGCUCAUGUUCUCUUACAUGUAAUUUGCAUGAAAUCUUAUUAUCUUAGGAUUAUACUGGAGUGCCACCAGCAGUUGACCUCACUAGCAUGUGAGACACUGUUAAGAAUCUUGACAAUGAUCUUAACAAGAUUAUUCCACUAGUUUGUAAUUUUCCCUCUAUAUUUUACCAGUAGUAUAUAACUUAUUUACUUCUAUAUCUUGCAAUUUAUGCAGCCCCCGAGCAUGGUAUAGCUUGGUGUUGGUAGAUUCACAUUGUCCAAGAACUUACAAGAUGUUGAGAAAGCAUAGUGUUGGCAAAAUUUUUGAGUUUUAUGGUUAAGUCUAUGAUCAUAAAUCUUAAGAAUAGAAUGAUUUUACUAUAAAAAAUUUCAGGUUUAUAGGACUUUAUCAUCAAUGUAACUAUUUUUAAUGUGGUUAUAGGAGAGGGUGUGGCUGAAUUAUCAUUAGCUAAUCAUGGUCGAGCCAUAGUUGCAGACAUGGGACCUGAAUAAUGUGCAACCAUGGGUUGUCUUUCCUGUGGAUCAUACAGCCUUGCAAUUCCUUAAUUUAACCAGCAGGAGUGGUGACACAGUUCAUUCUCCGUCCAUUUUAUGCGUGGUGAUGACUCCAACAAGGUUUUAUGUUAUUAUUGCUACUAUUUUGUCUUUUUAAUAAUUUAGAUAUAAGAACAUUUUCAUAUAUAUAUAGAAUAAGGAUGAGACAGAAGGACUAAAAUACUGGCAUCAAUAACAACACUAAGACCAAUAAAAUCUCAUAUUUCAAAAUUAGAAUUGAAAAAAAAUAUAAAAGAUUGAAGAUGCAAAGCAAAUAAAUUAAGUGUGAAUUGAAAACCUUAAUGCUAAGACUAAGAAUAAAUAAUUCAUCCCUUAAGACUAAUAGCUUCAUCAUCAUCCUUUGCUGCGAUAUGACUCUGGCUUGAAUUUAAAGAAGCAAAUAUGAAGUACUCAUCAUGCGAGAGAAAAUUACUUAGCUAAGAGAAGAAAUCAUUUACUUCAACCAAACUAUCCCCGGUAGAAAUAAAAGCCAAAAGAAUUAGAUUCAUUCAAAACAAAAAAUUGUAGGGAUUAGUUUUAUAAUUUUACUUAAAUUUUCAUUUCAUCAGGAGGACGUGGGUUCGAAUAUGUUGAAGUGCAUUAUGCUCCUAUUUAUGGGUUGGGGAGAGACUAAGCGUAGUUUUAGGCAUUGUAUCAAAAAAAAAAGAUUUGAUCAGAACCUAUAAUGUGAAAAGUUGUUACUAAAAAGUUUAAAAAAUAGAAUUUUUAGUUUCCUUUUGUUUAUUUAUUAUUUUUUUCAUAAUAUCUUUUAUCUAUAUUUGAAGUGUUUUGGGUUUAAUUUUUAAUCAUUAUAAUCAAAAACCCAAUUUUGUACUAAUAAAGCACACCAUUGUUAGUUUUUAGUGUUAUUUUUGAGGUAUUAUAUAUUUGUAUUUGACCUAUGUUUAUAAUGGUGAUCAGACCCGUUUUUAAUAUUUUUGAGACCCUAGGCGAAACAAUAAAUCGGGGUCUUGUUUAAAAAAUUAUUAAAUGUAAUACAAAAAAAUGAACCUUUUUUAUUUUAUAUUUUUUCUGCCUGCAAUAAAUCAAAAGACUAAAAAAGUUAAAAAAAUUUCACGUUAAAAAUUAAAAAAAGAAACUUUUUGCCCUAAAGUUGGGCUGACGGAGACUAGAAAACAACCCAACAAAUUCCAAUAAAAUCUCAUACUACAAAAUUGGAAUUAACAAAUGGAAAAACAAAAAGACAUUGGUAAAGCAAAAUAAGUGUGAAACAUGAACAAAUUGACAUGAAGACUAAGAAGAGAGUAUGAAAAAUUUUAAAAUUGUAAUUUAGGAUGACUUUAAAAUAUGGGGAAGAUUCAUGAAAAUUAAAUGGGCCUGAAAUCAAUGAUUUUGCAGUUUCUCUUUGUUGAUUUGGUGGAUGUUUCCCACUACUUUUAAUGGUUCCAAUUAUAUACUUGGAAAUUGGAAUUACUUUUGCCACUCAUUUCUCAUGUUGGUUUGGCCAAUAAAAGAUUAUUUGCAUAAAGCAACAAUGCGGCAAUAGGCUGCAAUAUUUCCACAUGCCUCUCAAACUUUUUACUCCAAUUUUAAGGAUUUUUUUUAUUUUUUAAAAAUUAACAUAUUUUUCUACCUUUCUUCUUUCUCUUCUCAUCCUCUCUUUCUCAAUCUCACCUCCCCAAAAAAUGCAAAAUAAAAAAAAUUAUUUUAAUUUUUAAAAAAUAUAAAUUUUGGAAUUUUUAUGAAUUUUUUGAAUUUUUUGAAAAGUAUUUUAAAUUAUUUUGUAAUUUUUGUUGAGAGAUAUCAAUUUGUUAAAUUUUAAAAUUGACAAUGACCAAAGGAGCAUGUACACCAAUUUAUUGUAUGAAUUGUUCGGGUUAUUUAAAUUAUAAAAUUCAACUCGAAAAUCAAAUUAUAAAUAUUUUUAAUAUUAUAAAACAUAAAAAUAUUAAGAUUAAAUAAUAAUAUAGAAAAGGAAUUUUUUUUCUCCAAAUUUCUCAUCCAAAUACAGUCUAAGAAAGCUUGAAAGCUGAAAUUUAAAAAUAUUAUUAUCUUAACUCGAUUUAAAAUUUUUUUGAGUCAAGUCGAGUGCAAAGAAAUUAGAGUUGAAUUGAAUCGAGUGAAAUUGUUUGAGUUAAACUAAAAAUUUUAAUAUGUCAAAUUGAAAUAUUUUUAUGGUAUAAUUAAUUUUAUGUUAGAGCACAUAAAUUUGAAACCAUAUAUAUAUAUUUGAAAACUUUUGUUGAAAAUUUUUAAUAAUAUAAACUCGAAACUUGAAUUAUAAAAAUAUUUAAUAAUAUAAAACAUAAAAAAUAUUAAAAUUAAAUAAUAAUAUAGAAAUAAAAAUUUUUCUUCAAAUUUCUCAUCCAAAUACAGUCUAGAAAAGUUUUAAAGAUGAAAUUUAAAUAUGUUUGUUUCAAAAGUGGAAAAUUCUAUAUAUUGAAUCAUCAAAAUUUUCACUUAUUGUGUUCAUCAAUCCAGCGAAGACUUAACUUGUACACAUUUCUUUGAUAAAUUAUAACUUAUUUACAAAUUCGAUACUCAUUAACAAAUUGAUAUUAUAUUUUAAGUUAAAUUAUUUUAAAUUAUUUUGUAAUUUUUGUUGAGAGAUAUCAAUUUGUUAAUUUUUAAAAUUAAUAGGGACUAAAGGAGUAUGUAUAUCAAUUUGUUGUUUGAAUUAUUUGUGUUUUUCAUCAUAAAAUUCAACUCGAAACUGGAAUUGUAAACAUAAAGAGAGCCUAAGCCUAAGGUCAUGCAAUCUUACUGAAUUUCCAGAAUUCAUUAAAAGGCAACCCAAGUUGGUUGACUUAGAUCUUUCUAAUAACCAUAUCCAUGGUUUUGUGCCCAAUUGGUUGUGGAAGAGCAGUCUUUCAUGGGUAGACCUUUCUUUCAAUGUGAUUGAUUUUCCAAAACAGCUUCCCUUAAAUGAUGCAAACUUCUCAUUUCCAAUGUUGGCAGACUUGGAUUUGAGAUCCUGCAACAUAAGUGCGUUUCCAGAGUUCAUCAAAACACAAGACAAGUUGGUUGACUUAGAUCUUUCUAACAAUCAUAUCCAUGGUGUUGUGCCUAAUUGGUUCUGGAAGAGCAGCCUUUCAAGGGUAAACCUUUCUUUCAAUGUGAUUGAUUUUCCAAAACAACUUCCCUUAAAUGAUGCAAACUUCUUAUUUCCAAUGUUGACAGGAUUGGAUUUGAGAUCCUGUAACAUAAGUGCGUUUCCAGAGUUCUUAAAGAGUCAAAAAAAUUUAGAAGAAUUCGACGCAUCUUAUAACAAUUUGAGUGGCCCAAUUCCAAAUUGGUUAUGCAAUAUGAGUCUACUUUACACUUUCGAUGCAUCUUAUAACAAUUUGAGUGGCUCAAUUCCAAAUUGCUUGGUCAAUAUGAGUCAACUUGAAACUUUCGAUGUAUCUUAUAACAAUUUGAGUGGCCCAAUUCCAAAUUGCUUGGGCAAUAUGAGUGCUCUGAUUUUGUUGGGUUUGCAAGGAAAUAACUUCAGUGGAAUGUUACCAAAAUUUUCAACAGCAACCCAACUGCAAUUUCUGAAAGUUAGUGAGAAUAGAUUGGAAGGGAAAGCAAAGGCACGGCGGUGGUCACGCUGGUCGUGGUGGCGCGACGGCGAUCAGGGCCCUUUCGCUGCUGCUUUCUUGACCCUUUUUUUGCUUCUUUUUUUUUGCGAAAAAAACUGAAACCCCCCCUUCUCUUCAAUUUUUCUUUUUAAUCCCUCCAAAAUUGUCUUCUUCCUCUUUGUUUUUAGGUGACAGGGGAAGAAAAUCAUGGCCUAGGGAGCUGCCGGAGUAGCUGGAAGUGGCAGGAGCAUGCUUGGAUGCCGAUUGGGUGAUUUGACAAGUCCAGAAGGACCAAAAUGUAGAAGACACAAAAUAUUUGGGGUAAAAAUGUGAUUUGGGGAAAAUAUAGGGCCAAGAUGUAAUUUUUUGAAAUUUUAAGGGUCAAAGUGUAAUUUACAAAAUAUUAGGGGUCAAUAUAUAAUUUUUGAAAAAUUUAGGGGCUAAAAUGUAAUUUAUUUUUUUGUAUUUUUUCAAAGUUUUAUUAUUACUAUUAAUAUUUAAAACAUAAAUUAAAAAUGGACUAAGACAAUUCCAAUAUUAAAUCCUAAUGGGCCCAAUCAUUGGGCCCAUACGAGGCCGACCCGGCCCAAAAUUCUAACCGGGCAAAAUUUAGUGAUUACAGUUAUUUUUGUGCAAUCAAAAUUUGGACAUUUGCAUGCAAUGCCAAAGACUUAAGAUAUUUCAUACUAUCAUUUUUCCCGAUCCAAAGUUAAAGAUAUUAAAAAUUUUAAAUUAGAAUGUUAUUUAUAAUUUGAGAAUUUGAGAUAGAAGGUGAAUUAACACUUUGAUAAAUCAUAACAUAUUUAUAAGAUGGAUACUCAUUAACAAGUUGAUUUUAUAUUAUAAGUUAAAUUUUAUUUUUUUUGGUGUUAUAACAAAAUUACCUUAGAAGAUUACAUUGUAAUUUUUUUAUUUUAAAAAAUGAUGUAGAAAUAAUUAUGUAUAACAUAAAAAAUGAUAAAGUUUGGCCAAGUUUAAAAUAUUUGUAACAUAAUUUUUUCUACAAAGUCCAUACUUAAUAUAUAUAAUUUAAACUUAAAAUCUCGGUUGAAGUAUUAUCUUUGCUUAUUUUAUACGUAGUGACGGUUCCAAUAAGAUUUAAAGUACAUUAUUAUUACUAUAAAUUUGUCUUUUUUAAUGACUUAGAUAUAGAAGAUUAUUUAUAUAGACUAAGGAGUGGGCAAGAAAACUAAAACCUCGGCAUUAAUAAGAAAAAUGACAUCAAUAAUAUAUUAAAAUCUCAUUCUUCAAAAUCAAUAAUAUAUUAUUCUUUAAUAAUAUAUUAAAACGCAAAUUAAAUGUGAAUUUAACAACUUAUUUCUAAUACUAACAACAAAUAAUUUAUGCUAUAAAUUAUUUAUUAUUAGUAUUAUUAUUAUUAUCCCUUGCUGGAAAAGGUUAACCAAAAAGACUUAGCUAAAGUGGUGGAACAUUAUUUUGAUGCAGUAUUGACUGGGCAAAAAGACUUGGAAAUUGCGUGCUAUGCCAAACAUGAAAACUACACAUUUGUGUAUAAAUAAGUUGUAUGCCAAGCACAAUCCUUCUUCACACCCAACAAACAUGAACACUCUUCAUUUCCUUAUUUCACUCUUCCUCUUCUCAUGCGUCCUUUCUCUUGUCAUGUCUUUUUCACCUCCUCAAACUCAUCUCCCUAAGCAAUGCCUUGAUGAUCAGAGAGCUCCUCUCCUGCAAUUGCAGCGUCAUCUUUACUGUGCCCCUAAUUUUACUUUCUCUUCCAAAUUUGACCUCUGGGAUGUCAACACUGAUUGUUGUUCUUGGGAAGGAGUCACUUGUGAUGCUUAUGGUCAUGUCGUUGGCAUUGAUCUUAGCAAUAAAAACCUUUCAGGCAGGUUUCACCCCAUAUUCAAUCUCCAUCGUCUUCAACACCUUAAUCUUGCUGGAAACAACUUUAAUACCACUAUGUUUUCCCAUGGGUUUCACAAACUCCAAAAUCUAACCCAUCUCAAUCUUUCAAGCUCAUGUUUCCAUGGCCAAAUUCCAGUGGAGAUCUCAUACUUAACGAGGUUAGUGUCUCUUGAUCUAUCUAAUCAAGGUUCUUGUUAUUUGCGAUACUACGCCAUUCUUGACCCAUAUAGAGGCGUCUACACCUACAAUGAUCCAUUGCCUUACGAACUUCAACAGCCUCUUAAAUUAGAGAAUCCAAACUUCAAGACAUUAAUCAAGAAUUUGAGGUUUCUCACAGAGCUUUAUUUGGAUGGGGUAAACAUUUCAACUCAAAGUGCUAAAUGGUGUGAAACCACAUCUCUUGUACUUUCCAACCUGCGUGUGUUGAGUCUGUCAAACUGUGGUUUGAAAGGUCCAUUAUGUUCUUCACUCUCAAGACUCUCUUUUCUUUCCAAACUUAUCCUUGAUGGGAACCCAAUCUCUUAUUUACCUCCCAAUUUCUUGGAAAUUUCCUCUCGUUUGGUUUCUCUCAGUUUGAGGAACUGCUAUUUGAGUGGCCAUUUUCCAACUGAAAUUCUCUUAUCGCCAAAAAUUCAAAGCAUUGACAUUUCAUUGAACCACCAACUUAUGGGUCAGUUGCCAGAAUUUCCAGCAAACAAUGCAUUACUGAGUCUGUCACUUUAUUUUACAAAUUUCAGUGGAAAACUGCCUGAAUCGAUUGGUAAUCUUAAGUUCCUGACAAAUUUAGAGCUUUCUUAUUGCAAUUUUUUUGGACCUAUUCCAUCGUCAAUUACGAAUCUUAGUCACCUGGUCAACCUAUAUCUGGGAGGGAACAUGCUUUCUGGAUCAAUACAUUCUUCUUUAUUCACUCUUCCAUCAUUAAAGACCCUGUCUCUUGGAGAAAAUCACUUGGUUGGGAAAAUUGAUGAGUUCCCCAAUGCAUCUUCUUCUUUGAUUCAAGAACUAUAUAUAGGCAAUAAUUAUUUAACAGGACCAAUCCCAAAGUCAAUCCUUCAACUUCCAAGGCUUGAAUGGCUUUAUAUUGAAAGCAAUAGCUUCAGUUCCAUGAAGCUUGACAUGUUUGUCCAACUCAAGAACUUGAGGUAUCUGACUCUGUUCAACACAAGCUUGUUAAUUGAAAGCGACAGCAGAAGUCUUCCUUUUCCACAAUUAGAGAGCCUAACCCUAAGGUCAUGCAACCUUACUGAAUUUCCAGAAUUCAUUAAAAGGCAAGACAAGUUGGUUGACCUCGAUCUUUCUAACAGCCAUAUCCAUGGUUUUGUGCCCAAUUGGUUGUGGAAGAGCAGUCUUUCAUGGGUAGACCUUUCUUUCAAUGUGAUUGAUUUUCCAAAACAGCUUCCCUUGAAUGAUGCAAACUUCUCAUUUCCAAUGUUGAAAGAAUUGCGUUUGAGAUCCUGUAACAUAAGUGCGUUUCCAGAGUUCAUCAAAACACAAGACAAGUUAGUUGUGUUAGAUCUUUCUAACAACCAUAUCCAUGGUGUUGUGCCUAAUUGGUUGUGGAAUAGCUCUCUUUCAGGGGCAAACCUUUCUUUCAAUGUGAUUGAUUUUCCAAAACAGCUUCCCUUAAGUGAUUUAAACUUCUCUUUUUCAAUGUUGAGGGAAUUGUAUCUGGAAUCUUGUAACAUAAGAUCAUUUCCAGAGUUCUUAAAGAGUCAAGAAAAUUUAGAAUAUCUCGAUCUUUCAAAUAAUAAAAUAAGUGGUGCAAGUCCAAACUGGGUGUGGAAGAAAAGUUUGCGGUAUCUGUUUCUUGCAAAUAACCAUCUCUCAUCUUUGGACCAACUUUUACCCAAUCAGAGUUCAACUUCUUCACAAGACUCUUUCUAUUUCGACGCAUCUUAUAACAAUUUGAGUGGCCCAAUUCCAAAUUGGUUAUGCAAUAUGAGUCAACUUCGCGGUUUUGAUGCAUCUUAUAACAAUUUGAGUGGCUCAAUUCCAAAUUGCUUGAACAAUAUGAGUCAACUUGAAACUUUCGAUGUAUCCUAUAACAAUUUGAGUGGCCCAAUUCCAAAUUGCUUUGGCAAUAUGAGUGCUCUGAUUUGGUUGAUUUUGCAAGGAAAUAACUUCAGUGGAAUGUUACCAAAAUUUUCAAAAGCAACCCACGUAUAUAUUCUGAAAGUUAGUGAGAAUAGAUUGGAAGGGAAGUUGCCCAGAUCAUUAGCUGAAUGCACUCAGCUUGAAGUUUUGGACGUGGGAAACAACAAGAUGAAUGAUACAUUCCCUUUUUGGUUGGAGAAAUUGCCUUACUUGACGGUUCUAAUAUUGCGGGAAAACAGAUUUUAUGGUCAAAUUAAACAUAGAUUUGUUUUCCCAACUUUGGAUGUGUUGGACAUUGCUUCAAACCAGUUUUCUGGUGAACUAUCCAUUGAUUUCCUUCAACCCACUCGACUAAGGUCACUCAAAAUUGGUGGGAAUAAAUUGGAAGGGAAGUUGUCGAGAUCAUUAGCCAAUUGUACAGCACUUGAGGUUCUGGACCUCGGAAAUAAUAUGGUUCAUGAUACAUUCCCAUUUUGGCUAGAGAAGCUACCUUCCUUGAAGGUUCUCGUUUUGCGAGCAAACAGAUUCUACGGCACAAUUUCAAAAAUCGACACGGAGCGUGGGUUUCCAAAGCUACGCAUAUUGGACAUUGGUUCCAAUCAUUUUUCAGGUGACUUGUCCAUUGAAUUUUUGCAGAGUUUGAAGGCAAUGGCGAAGAUGACUAAGGACGAAAAGGUUAAGCGGGUUUACAUUGGGGACGUCUAUUAUAAAGAUUCUGUGACAAUUGUUAACAGGGGGGUUGAACUAUUUUACCAAAAAAUCUUAACUGUUCUUACUUGUCUUGACCUUUCCAACAAUAGUUUCCAUGGGAGAAUACCAGAAGAGAUACAAAUGCUGAGGUCACUCAGAGUGAUGAACUUAUCCAACAAUGGCUUUUCUGGUGAAAUCCCAUUAGCACUUGAAAAUCUAAAAGAUCUUGAAUCUUUGGAUCUCUCACAGAAUGAGCUGUCAGGGAAGAUUCCUGCACAACUUACAAGUUUAACUUUCUUAGCAGCAUUGAAUUUGUCUUACAACCUACUUGAAGGGAGCAUACCGCAAGGCAACCAAUUCAGUACAUUUUCAAAUGAUUCUUACCGUGGGAAUCCAAAAUUAUGCGGUCCACCAUUGUCCAAGAAAUGCAAUGAAGUUGGUCUUCCAAAGCCACCACCUCUAGGGGAAGAUGAAGAUUCAUGGUGAUAUGCUGUGUCUACUUGGAAAAUUGCGUUGAUAGGUUAUGCUAGUGGAUUAGUCGUUGGGCUAUGUAUUGGAUAUACAGUGCUGAAUGAGUUGGGAAACAAAUGGGUUGACAAGUUCAAAAAGUGUGGGAAAAGAAAUAGGAGGAGAUGUAGGUGACUCCAUCAGAAUUCUUGCUUCAAAAUUAGCUGGUAAGCAUUUGUCUUUCUAAUUUGAACAGAUAGUUGUUGAUAUAUAUAUAGGUUUUCAUAACCUCAUUUUUUGCUGUCUUUACCAAGUUCACUAUCAUACCGUACUUGUAAUUUUAUGUUACCAUUGAGGUACAUGAAUAAUCUAGGCAGUGAUCCUAACAAUGAUCCUAACAGCUGAGGAGAUUUGAUGGCUUGAUGCUGAUGAAAGCUUUUUCUGAUGGACAUUGGACUGAUUGUGUCAAGAGAUGCAGAUGUUGCUACUCCCACCCUUUGCUCUUCCAAAGAGACAUUAGCUUUAUAUUUUAUCAAUCACGUGUUGGGGUUUAGGAUCGGGUGUAAAGGGUGGACCUAUUGGUCCGGGUUUUAGUUCAACCCGACACUUAUUUUUAUACUAGUUUAUUUAUAGUUUCAGUGAUAGUUUUAUUAAUUUUAAAAAUAUAGUUGAAUUAGAUAAUAAUAUGAUAAAAAUAAAAAUAAAAAUAAAAAUUGUCACAGGGGCCUUUCAGUUUCGACGCAUCUUCUAACAAUUUGAGUGGCCCAAUUCCAAAUUGGUUAUGCAAAAUGAGUCGACUCGGCCGUUUUGAUGUAUCUUAUAACAGUUUGAGUGGCCCAAUUCCGAAUUGCUUGGGCAAUAUGAGUGCUCUCUAUUCGUUGGAUCUGCAAGGAAAUAACUUCAGUGGAAUGAUGCCAAAAUUUUCAAAAGCAACCCAACUGUCGUUUCUCAAAGUUAGUGAGAAUAGAUUGGAAGGGAAGUUGCCCAGAUCAUUAGCUGAAUGCACUCAGCUUGAAGUUUUGGACGUGGGAAGCAACAAGAUGAAUGAUACAUUCCCUUUUUGGUUGGAGAAAUUGCCUUACUUGACGGUUCUAAUAUUGCGGGAAAACAGAUUUUAUGGUCAAAUUAAACAUUUCAAACAUAAAUCUGUUUUCCCAACUUUGGAUGUAUUGGACAUUGCUUCAAACCAGUUUUCUGGUGAACUAUCCAUUGAUUUCCUUCAACCCACUCGACUAAGGUCACUCAAAAUAGGUGGGAAUAAAUUGGAAGGGAAGCUGUCGAGAUCAUUAGCCAAUUGCACAGCACUUGAGGUUCUGGACCUUGGAAAUAAUAUGGUUCAUGAUACAUUCCCAUUUUGGUUAGAGAAGCUACCUUCCUUGAAGGUUCUCGUUUUGCGAGCAAACAGAUUCUACGGCACAAUUUCAAAAAUUGACACGAAACGUGGGUUUCCAAAGCUACGCAUAUUGGACAUUGCUUCCAACAAUUUUUCAGGUGACUUGUCUAUUGAAUUUUUGCAGAGUUUGAAGGCAAUGGCGGAGAUGACUAAUGAUGAAAAGGCUACGCUGGAUUAUAUCGGAGAGAAUUAUUAUCAAGACUCUGUGACAAUUGUUAACAGAGGGAUUGAAAUGUUGUACCAAAAAGUCUUGACAAUUCUUACUUGUCUUGACCUUUCCAACAAUAGUUUCCAUGGGAGAAUACCAGAAGAGAUACAAAUGCUGAGGUCACUCAGAGUGAUAAACUUAUCCAACAAUGGCUUUUCUGGUGAAAUCCCAUUAGCACUUGAAAAUCUAAAAGAUCUUGAAUCUUUGGAUCUCUCACAGAAUGAGCUGUCAGGGAAGAUUCCUGCACAACUUACAAGUUUAACUUUCCUGGCAGCAUUGAACUUGUCAUGCAACCAACUUGAAGGGAGCAUACCACAAAGCAACCAAUUCAUUACAUUUACAAAUGAUUCCUACCGUGGGAACCCAAAAUUGUGUGGGCUGCCAUUGUCAAGGAAAUGCAAUGAAGUUAGUCUUCCAAUGCCACCACCUCCAGGGGAAGGUGAAGAUUCAUGGUUAAAUGCUCUGUCUACUUGGAAAAUUGCGUUGAUAGGUUAUGCUAGUGGAUUAAUCGUUGGGCUAUGUAUUGGAUAUACAGCGCUGAAUGAGUUGGGAAACAAAUGGGUUGACAAGUUCAAAAAGUGUGGGAAAAGAAAUAGAAGAAGAUGUAGGUGACUCCGUCAGAAUUUUUGCUUCAAAAUUAGCUGGUAAGCAUUUGUCUUUCUAAUUUGAACAGAUAGUUGUUGAUAUAUAUAUGUAUAUAUAUAGGUUUUCAUAACCUCAUUUUUUGUUGUCAUUACCAACUUCACUAUCAUAUCGUACUUGUAAUUUGAUGUUACCAUUGAGCAAUGCAGGAGGUACUUGAAGUAGGAAAUGGAAUGUACAGUUGUGAGGUUCAUGAAGAAUGUAGGCAAUGAUCCUAACAAGAUCAAUCCACUGGUUUGUAGUUUUGCUUUAUAUGCACUUUUUUCCUGUUGUAGUUUUCUAUGAGUAUAAAUAAGUGUUUAUUCAUUUUGCAUCCAGGUCCCUGUGGAUUUGGGGGAUGCAAUGUUUCACUGCUACUGAAUUUCCAUGCUAAUAAUGAUAUUAUAAACAAGGAAAUGUCUGCCCAAGCUUUCUUUUAUAUGCAAUUCACUUCAAUUUUUUUAUCUUCAGAAUAUUUGUACAGCUGAGGAGAUUUGAUGGCAUGAUGUUGGUGAAAGCCAUAUUUGACGGACAUUGGACUGAUUGUGUAAAGAGACGCAGAUGCUGCUACUCCCAUCCUUUGCUCUUCCAAACAGACAUGAGUUUUAUAUUUUAUGAAUCACGUGUUGGGCUUUAGGACCGGGUGUAAAGGGUGGACCUGUUGGUCCGGGUUUUAGUUCAGCCCGUCACUUAUUUUUAUACUAGUUUAUUUAUACUUUCAAGGAUAGUUUUAUUAAUUUUAAAAAUAUGGUUGAAUUAAGUAAUAAUAUGAUAAAAAUAAUAAAAAUAAUAAAAAUUUUAUCAAAUAAAUUAUUUCUUAAAAUCUAGUAUGCUUUCCAAUGUUAGCCAAAGGCCAACAAUAUCUCACACUAAUAUUUUCUUUGUUAGUCCAAAAUUAAAAAUUUCAAAUUAGGAUGUAACUUAUAGUUUGAGGGCUUAAUCAAAAUUUUUUUUAAAAAUUUAGAAAUCAAUUUAAAAUUUAAUCCAUAAUUUAAGGAAUUAACCUUUUGGUAAAUCCUAACAUAUUCAGAAGUUCCAUACUCAUUAAUAAAGAGUGAACCUGUUGGUCUAGGUUUUAUGUUAAUUUUAUCACGAAAUUUUAAUUUUAUUUCAUUUUAGUCCCGUGAGAAACGGUGCGCAUAAGGGCAAGGUAUAUUCUCCUAUUCGGUCCCUAUUCUUUUUAGCAUGUUAUAUUUUAAUUCUUAUUAGCCUUUUUUAUUUACAAUUUAUACUCCUUAAUUUUAUUCCGAUUUCAAUAUGAUCCUUAGUUUAUUUAACUUCAAUUUUUUUUACAAACUGUUUCAUUUAUUAUUUAUUUAUUUAUUUUCAAUUUUUAAUAAAAUGUUUUAUUGGUAGUCACCUUUUUAUUUAUUUAUUUACUUAUUGCUUCCUUUGUUUUUUAUUUUUAAUUGGCUUGCUUUUUGUAUUUUCCUUUUAUUGUGCAUUUUUUGGCGGCACUUACCACAAAGCGCCGCAAAUAGUAAGCAUUAGCGGCGUUUUGAAAUAAGUGCCACUAACUCUAAUAUACGUCAAGGCCAAACUCUGCGUUUUGGUUAGGAUACUUUGCGGCGCUUUCCACAAGCGCCGCUACUACUAUAGUUUAGCGGCGUUUUCCAAUAAGCGCCACUAAUUCUAAUAUACCUCAAGACCAAACUCCGCGUUUUGGUUAAGAUAUUUUGAGGCGCUUACAACCAAACGCUGCUAUUACUAUGCUUUAGUGGCGUUUUCCUUAAACGCCACUAAUUAUAAUAUACAUCAAGACCAAAACGCUGCGUUUUGGUUAAGAUGUUUUGCGGCAUUUAACGCUCAGCGCCGCUAAUACUAUACAUUAGCGGCGUUUUCUUUAUAAGCACCACUAAUUGUAAUAUACAUCAACACCAAACUCUGCGUUUUGGUUAACAUCUUUUGCGGCGCUUCCGCUAAGCGUCGCUAAUACUAUGCAUUACCGGCGUUUGUUCGUAAGCGCCACUAAUUCUAAUAUACAUCAAGACCAGAACACUGCGUGUUGGUCUUGAGAUUCUACGGCACUGUGUGGUAAACGCCACUAAUGAUGUUUUUUUUAUGGCGUUUGUUCGGGAAACGCCACUAUUCAUCCGACUUUUUGCGGCGUUUUAAAAGAAGCGCCGCUAAUGCUAGAUCUUUAGCGGCGUUGUAUUCUUUGCGCCACUAAUGCUCGAUUUUUAGCGGCGUUUGUAAUCCAAACGCCACAAAAUAUGCCGCUAAAAGCCUGUUCUGGUGUAGUGUUAGAGUUGAGCCCAUAAUUUGGGGUGUUGGAUUUAAUUAAACCCGUUGGUAGAUCAUAGCAUAUUUAUAAGUUGGGAUUUAGGAGUACUCAUUUAUUUUUGAUGAUUUUUAUGAGUGUUACAUAACAUCCUUUAUGUAUAUAUAUUUGAAGUUGUUUGAGUUUGAUAUUUAAUCAUUAGAAUUAAAAAUCCAAUUCUCUACUAAUAAAUCAAACAAUUGUUUUUUUUAGUGUUAUUUUUGAGCUCUUAUGUAUUUGUAUUUUACCUAUGUUUAUAGUGUUGACUGGUCAAAAUUAUAGGGUAUAUAAAAAACAUUAUUGUGUAAAAUUGUUUGAUUUAAAUUAAAAAAUAAAUAUGUCAAAUUAAAAUUUUAUUAUAGUAUAAUUAAUAUUUGAAAUCAUAAAUAUUAGAAAACUGUUUCAAAGCAAAAUAAUAAAAAAUUAUUAUAGUCUUUACAUAAUAUAAAUUUUAGAAUUUUUAUGAAUAUUUUAACUUUAAAAAUAUUUUAAUAUAUUUUUGUAAUUUUUGUUGAGAGAGAAUAUUAAUUUGUUAAUUUUUAAAAUUGACAAGAAUCAAAGGAGUAAAUAUAUCAAUCUGUUAUUUGAAUUAUUCGAAUUAUUUAAAUUAUAAAAUUCAACUCGAACCUCGAAUUAUAACUAUUUUUAAUAUUAUAAAAUAUUAAAAUAUUAAAAUUAAAUAAUAAUUAAAUAAUAAUAUAGAAAUGAAAAUAUUUCUCAAGCUUUAAGAAAGUUUGAAAGCUGAAAUUUAAAAAUGUAUCUUUCAAAAGUGAAAAAUUCUAUAUAUUCUAUCAUCAAAAUUUCCACUUAUUGUGUCCAUCAAUCUAUAAGGUGACUUGACUUGUACACAUUGGUUAAACAUUAUUUUUGUGCAAUAAAAACUUGGACAUUUGCAUGCAAUGCCAAAGACUUAAUACCUAAAUUAAAAGGCCUAUAAUAUUUCAUACUACAAUUUUUUCUGGUCCUAAAUUAAAGAUUUUAAAAUUUUCAAAUUAAAACCAUUAUGAUUUAAAAUUAUUAUAGUUUUUACAAAAUAUAAAUUUGAGAAUUUUUAUGAAUAUUUUGAUUUUAAAAAUUAUUUAAAAUUUUAUUUGAAAACUUUUGUUGAGAGAGAUCAAUUUGUUAAUUUUUAAAAUUGACAGGGACCAAAGGAGCAUGUACAUCAAUUUAUUGUUUGAAGUAUUUGAGUUAUUUAAAUUGUAAAAUUCAACUCGAAACUCGAAUUAUAAAAAUAUUUAUUAAUAUAAAACAUAAAACAUAAAAAUUAAAUAUUAAAAAAAUGACAUCAAUAAUAUAUUAUUCUCUAAUAAUAUAUUAAAACGCAAAUUAAAUGUGAAUUUAACAACUUAUUUCUAAUACUAACAACAAAUAAUUUAUGCUAUAAAUUAUUUAUUAUUAGUAUUAUUAUUAUUAUUAUCCCUUGCUGGAAAAGGUUAACCAAAAAGACUUAACUAAAGUGGUGGAACAUUAUUUUGAUGCAGUAUUGACUGGGCAAAAAGACUUGGAAAUUGCAUGCUAUGCCAAACAUGAAAACUACACAUUUGUGUAUAAAUAAGUUGUAUGCCAAGCACAAUCCUUCUUCACACCCAACAAACAUGAACACUCUUCAUUUCCUUAUUUCACUCUUCCUCUUCUCAUGCUUCCUUUCUCUUGUCUUGUCUUUUUCACCUCCUCAAUCUCAUCUCCCUAAGCAAUGCCUUGAUGACCAGAGAGCUCCUCUCCUGCAAUUGCAGCAUCAUCUUUACUAUGCCCCUCAUUUUACUUUCUCUUCCGAAUUUGACCUCUGGGAUGUCAACACUGAUUGUUGCUCUUGGGAAGGAGUCACUUGUGAUGCUUAUGGUCAUGUCGUUGGCAUUGAUCUUAGUUACAAAAACCUUUCAGGCAGCUUUCACCCCAUAUUCAAUCUCCAUCGUCUUCAACGCCUUAAUCUUGCUGGAAACAACUUUAAUACCACUCUGUUUUCCUAUGGGUUUGAUAAACUCCAAAAUCUAACUCAUCUCAACCUUUCAAGCUCAUGUUUCCAUGGCCAAAUUCCAAUGAACAUCUCACACCUAACAAGGUUAGUCUCUCUGAACCUAUCUUAUCAAGAUGAUUGCUAUUGGAGAAAUGGUUACGAUUAUAACUCAGCUACUUUAAAAUUGGAGAAACCAAACUUCAAGACAUUUAUCAAGAAUUUGAAGUUUCUCACGGAGCUUUAUUUGGAUGGUGUCGACAUUUCAACUCAAAGUACUAAAUGGUGUGAAACCACAUCUCUUGUACUUCCAAACCUGCAUGUGUUGAGUCUGUCAAGCUGUGGUUUGAAAGGUCCAUUAUGUUCUUCACUCUCAAGACUCUCUUUUCUUUCCAAACUUAUCCUUGAUUGGAACCCAAUCUCUUAUUUACCUCCCAAUUUCUUGGAAAUUUCCUCUCGUUUGGUUUCUCUCAGUUUGAGGAACUGCAAUUUGAGUGGCCAUUUUCCAACUGAAAAUCUCUUAUCGCCAAAAAUGCAAAGCAUUGACAUUUCAGAUAAUGACCAACUUAUGGGUCAGUUGCCAGAAUUUUCAUCAAACAAUUCUUUACAGAGUUUGUCGCUUUCUUAUACAAAUUUCAGUGAAAAACUACCCCAAUCAAUUGGUAACCUCAAGUUCCUGACAAAUUUAGAGCUUGAUGAUUGCAAUUUUUUUGGACCCAUUCCAUCGUCAAUUGCAAAUCUUAGUCACCUGGUCAACCUAUAUCUAGGAGGGAACAAGCUUUCUGGAUCAAUACAUUCUUCUUUAUUUACUCUUCCAUCGUUGAAGAUCUUGUAUCUUGGAGAAAAUCAAUUGGUUGGGAAAAUUGAUGAGUUCCCCAAUGCAUCUUCUUCUUUGAUUCAAGAAUUAUAUAUAGGCAAUAAUUAUUUAAAAGGAACAAUCCCAAAAUCAAUCCUUCAACUUCCAAGGCUUGAAUGGCUUUAUAUCCGAGACAAUAGCUUCAGUUCCAUGAAGCUUGACAUGUUUGUCCAACUCAAGAACUUAAAGGGUCUCUACUUAUCCAACGUAAGCUUGUUAAUUGACAGCGACAACGGAAGUCUUACUUUUCCCCAAUUAGAGAGCCUAGGGCUAAAGUCAUGCAACCUUACUGAAUUUCCAGAAUUCAUUAAAAGGCAAGACAAGUUGGUUGACUUAUAUCUUUCUAGCAAUCAUAUCCAUGGUGUUGUGCCCAAUUUGUUGUGGAAGAGCAGUCUUUCAUGGGUAGACCUUUCUUUCAAUAUGAUUGAUUUUCCAAAACAGCUUCCCUUAAAUGAUGCUAACUUCUCAUUUCCAAUGUUGAAAGUAUUGCAUUUGAGGUCUUGUAACAUAAGUGCGUUUCCAGAGUUCAUCAAAACUGUUGAAAGCUGGACUGCAAUGCAACAUGGAGCCAAAAGCUUGCUACUAUCGAGACCAGCAGCUAUCGAGCUCAGCUCGUUUUGCUUGGUGCGCACGAAUGGUUUUUGAACUGAAUGAAGCAACCAACUUUGCUGUUUUGUUUUGAUGUAAUUUGAUUCAGUUCAACUUUAGUUUGUUUGUAAUGCUAGUUAAACUUAAGUUAGUGACAUGAUCUUUUGAUGUAAUGGCUGAUUGGUCAGCUAUGUUUGAUUAUUUUUGGCUAGUGAUUAGGUUUGUAUUAGUUGGGGCAGUUAAAUACAUUAGGUAACUGUCAAUGUACAAUUGUAACUCUUUUAUAUAUUUCAAGUUGAAUGAAAAAUGAGGUAUGUUCAGUCACAAACAUUGCUGAGUAUUUUGAUUUUUGAUGCUUUGCUUGCCUUGAUUCUUCUUGCUUCAGUCUUGCAAACAUUGAGUUGCAAAUUUGCUUUGAUGUUUGCUGCUGUCAUUGUUCCAACAAAUGGUAUCAUGAGCCCGAGUCUUUGAGGGGCCUUUGUAUGCAAUCUGUUGUGUUCGAAACAAAACCAACAGCAAGUUCAAAAUUUGGUAAGAUUGAAGCAUUUAAAAUCAGUUCAGCAGAAUGAGUUUCACUCCACCACCUCCACCAGUGUUCACUGGAGAAAACUAUCACAUUUGGAUAGUUAAAAUGAAGACUUAUCUCUAGGCACAUGAUCUUUGGAGUGUGAUCGAGAAUGAUGCUGAACCACCUCCAUUGAGAGCCAAUCCCACCAUUGCACAGAUGAGGCAACAUACUGAGGAGCGAGCCAAGAAGCAUAAGGCUAUGGCCUGCUUGCAAAAUGGAGUCUCUGAUGUGAUAUUUACUCGCAUCAUGGCCUGUGACUCACCUAAGCAGGCUUGGGAGAAGCUGAAGGAGGAGUUCAUGGGGACUGAUAAGACAAGGCAACAGCAAGUAAUCAACCUCAGGAGAGACUUUGAAAACUUGAGGAUGAAGGAGUCUGAGACCAUCAAGCAGUACUCAGACAGGAUAAUGGCCAUUGUCAACAGCAUUAGGCUCCUGGGAGUGGACUUCACAGAGAGCAGAGUUGUUGAAAAGGUUAUUACAACUCUUCCUGAGAAAUUUGAGUCUAAAAUCUCUUCACUUGAGGACUCGAGGGACUUAUCAGCCAUUUCAUUGUCUGAGCUGAUAAAUUCCCUAUAUGCACUUGAGCAAAGGAGGGCAAAUAGGCAGGAGGAGAAUCCUGAAGCUGCUUUCCAGGCUAAAGCCAGUGAAGGCUCGAGUGUGAGUGCAAAAGGCAAGAAGCCUUGGCACAAUAGAAGGGUCAAGUCAGGAAGAGAUGAAGCAAAAAGGGUGUUCCCACCAUGUGUUCAUUGCAAGAAGACAACACAUUCAGAAAAGUAUUGCUGGUUUAGGCCAGAUAUUCAGUGUAGAAAAUGCAAACAGUUUGGCCAUGUGGAGAAGGUGUGCAAGGGCAAACCAAGGGAGGCUACUCUGCAACAAGCUAGACCUGCUGAGGACAUUCAAGCUCAGGAGGAGCAAGUGUUCACAGCAACUUGUUUUGUUGGCACAACCAAGGCCAGCAAUGAUUGGCUACUAGACAGUGGCUGCUCACACCAUAUGGCAGCAGAUGAGAAACUGUUCAAAAGCCUAGACAGAAGCUUCCACUCGAGGAUUAGAAUUGGAGAUGGUAGGCUGAUUGAGGCUAAAGGCAAGGGCAGUGUGUUGAUUAGCACUGGUUCAGGUAACAAGCUGAUCUCAGAUGUGUUUUUUGUACCUGAAUUAGACCAGAAUUUGCUUAGUGUGGGCCAAUUAGUUGAAAAGGGCUAUACAUUGGUUUUUAAGGAUGGUUGCUGUAUUGUUCAAGACAUGAAUGGUCUGGAGUUAGUCACAGUCUCUAUGACUGAUAGGUGCUUCAUGCUGGAUGUUAGCCAAAUAGAAAGAAAGGCAUACACCAGCCUUGUUGAAAGCACUGACUUGUGGCAUAGGAGACUAGGCCAUGCAAAUUUUAGAUCUAUUGAUCUAUUACAUAGGCUGAAUCUGGUUGAUGACAUUUCAAAAAUUGAAGCUAGUGGGAAUGUUUGUGAGGUUUGUCAGCUUGGUAAGCAGGCUAGACUGCCUUUUCCUGCUGACAGUGCUUGGAGAGCUCAAGACAAGCUCGAAUUGGUGCACUCUGAUGUUUGUGGCCCUAUGAGAACACCUUCAAUCAGUGAGAACAGGUACUUUGCCUUGUUUAUAGAUGAUUUAACAAGGUUAUGCUGGGUCUAUUUCUUGAAGCAAAAGUCAGAAGUGUUUGAAGCCUUCUGUAAAUUCAAGGCUUAUGCUGAAAAUCAGUCAGGCUGCAAAAUUAGAGCCUUGAGGACUGAUAAUGGAUCUGAAUAUGUGUCUGAGAGAUUUCAGAAGCUUUGUGACAAUGCUGGGAUUCACCAUCAGCUCACAACAGUCUAUUCUCCUCAACAGAAUGGAGUCUGUGAGAGAAAGAAUAGGACUGUACUGAACAUGGCCAGGUGCCUCUUGUUUCAAGGCAAGCUUCCAAGUCAGUUUUGGGCUGAGGCAGUCAACACCUCAGUGUAUCUGCUCAACAGACUGCCAACUAGAGCAGUCAAGGAUAAGACUCCUUUUGAGGCUUGGCACGGAGUCAAACCUGUGAUAACACACUUAAAAGUGUUUGGCUGUGUAUGUUAUGCACUUAUUCCAGUGGAGAAAAGGACCAAGCUUGAGAGUAGAGCAACUCCAGGAAUCUUUGUUGGCUACAGCAGCAAUAAGAAGGGCUAUAGAGUGUAUGAUCCUACAGCAAAGAAGGUUUUAGUCAGCAGGGAUGUUAAGUUUGAUGAGGAAAAGGUGUGGAAUUGGAAUGGUGUUGUGGCUAACUUGUCUGAAUUGGACCAGUUAGACUUGGUUGAACCUGCAGAAGAAGGACCAAGUAAUGAUGCUGUCGAUGAUAUACCAGUGAGGGGCACCAGAACUUUGGUUGAUGUUUAUCAGAGGUGCAAUGUUGCUGUGAUUGAGCCCUCAGACUUUGAAGAGGCUGCUAAAAACAGAAGCUGGAUGAAAGCUAUGGAAGCUGAGUUGGAAAUGAUCAACAAAAAUCAGACUUGGGAGUUGGUGAGCAGACCAGAACACAAGAGGGUCAUAGGAGUUAAAUGGGUGUAUCGGGCCAAGUACAAUGCUGAUGGCUCACUGAACAAGCACAAGGCCAGGCUUGUGGUGAAGGGCUACAGUCAGCAGUAUGGUGUUGACUACCUAGAAACUUUUGCUCCAGUGGCAAGACUGGAUACAAUUAAGCUACUGUUUGCUUUAGCAGCUCAGAAGCAGUGGAGAGUUCACCAAUUGGAUGUCAAAUCAGCAUUCCUGAAUGGUUUUCUCAAGGAGGAGAUCUUUAUCGAGCAACCUGAAGGUUUUGAAUUUGUUGGACAUGAAGACAAAGUGUAUAAGUUGAGAAAGGCCCUCUAUGGCCUGAAACAGGCACCAAGGGCCUGGUAUGACAGAGUUGAUGCCUACCUGACCAAACUUGGAUUUGCAAAGAGCCUUAGUGAGCCUACUCUAUAUGUUAAAAAGUCAGAACAUGAAACCUUGCUGAUAGUCUCCUUGUAUGUGGAUGAUUUGCUUGUGACAGGGAGCAAAAUCGAGCUCAUUGAUCAGUUCAAGGUCCAAAUGCAGCAAGUGUUUGAGAUGACAGAUUUGAGGAUCAUGACUUACUUCCUUGGCAUGGAAGUGCACCAAUCUGAUCGAGGUAUCUUCAUCAGCCAACACUCAUUUGCUUUGAAGAUUCUAGACAAAUUUUGCAUGCAUAACUGUAAAGCAGUCAGCACACCUGUGGCUCAAGGAGAAAAGCUGACUAGCAGUGGUGAUCAGCAGAGGGUUGAUGAGAGGCACUAUCGAAGCCUGGUUGGUUGUCUGUUGUAUCUAACAGCAACCAGGCCAGAUAUCAUGUUUGGUGUCAGCCUGUUAUCAAGAUUUAUGCAUUGUUGCAAUGAGGCACAUUUGAAGGCAGCAAAGAGGAUCCUUAGAUACAUCAAGGGCACUGCUAGUUUUGGUGUAAUGUUUGAAAGUCAGAACCAACUGAAAUUAGAAGGCUACUCUGACAGCGACUGGGCAGGAUCUCUCGAUGACAUGAAGAGUACCUCUGGAUACUUCUUCACACUUGGAUCGGGUAUGUUUUGCUGGAGUUCUAAGAAGCAACAAACUGUUGCUCAGUCCACAGCUGAAGCAGAGUACAUUGCUGCAGCAGGAGCAGUUAAUCAGGCCAUUUGGCUAAGAAAGCUGCUUUAUGACCUUAAUGAAACUCAAGAUGAAGCAACUGAAAUCUGGGUGGACAAUCAGUCUGCAGUUGCAAUAGCCAAGAACCCUGUGUUCCAUGGCAAGACUAAGCACUUUAAGAUCAAAUUGCAUUUUGUUAGAGAGGCUGAACAAGCAAAGGAAGUCAGCCUUGUGAAUUGCAGCUCAGGAGCACAAUUGGCUGACAUAAUGACCAAGCCCUUAGGGGCUGCUCGAUUUGAAUCUUUGAGAAGUGCAAUUGGAAUGUGUUGCAUACAGUCCAAGGAGGAGUGUUGAAAGCUGGACUGCAAUGCAACAUGGAGCCAAAAGCUUGCUACUAUCGAGACCAGCAGCUAUCGAGCUCAGCUCGUUUUGCUUGGUGCGCACGAAUGGUUUUUGAACUGAAUGAAGCAACCAACUUUGCUGUUUUGUUUUGAUGUAAUUUGAUUCAGUUCAACUUUAGUUUGUUUGUAAUGCUAGUUAAACUUAAGUUAGUGACAUGAUCUUUUGAUGUAAUGGCUGAUUGGUCAGCUAUGUUUGAUUAUUUUUGGCUAGUGAUUAGGUUUGUAUUAGUUGGGGCAGUUAAAUACAUUAGGUAACUGUCAAUGUACAAUUGUAACUCUUUUAUAUAUUUCAAGUUGAAUGAAAAAUGAGGUAUGUUCAGUCACAAACAUUGCUGAGUAUUUUGAUUUUUGAUGCUUUGCUUGCCUUGAUUCUUCUUGCUUCAGUCUUGCAAACAUUGAGUUGCAAAUUUGCUUUGAUGUUUGCUGCUGUCAUUGUUCCAACAAAAUCACAGUUUGACAGACUCAACACACGCAGGUUGGAAAGUACAAGAGAUGUGGUUUCACACCAUUUAGCACUUUGAGUAGAAAUGUCCACACUAUCCAAAUAAAGCUAUGUGAGAAACCUCAAAUUCUUGAUUAAUGUCUUGAAGUUUGGAUUCUCUAAUUUAAGAGGCUGUUGAAGUUCGUAAGGCAAUGAAAAACGGUUGUAGAAGCCAGGGUAGAGAACUUUGUAAUAUCUCAAAUAACAAGAAUCUUGAUUGGACAGAUCAAGAGAGACUAACCUUUUUAGGAAUGAGAUCUCCACUGGAAUUUGGCCAUGGAAACAUGAGCUUGAAAGGUUGAGAUGAGUUAGAUUUUGGAGUUUAUCAAACCCAUAGGAAAACAGAGUGGUAUUAAAGUUGUUUCCAGCAAGAUUAAGGCGUUGAAGACGAUGGAGAUUGAAUAUGAGGUGAAAGCUGCCUGAAAGGUUUUUGUAACUAAGAUUAAUGCCAACGACAUGACCAUAAGCAUCACAAGUGACUCCUUCCCAAGAGCAGCAAUCAGUGUUGGGGUGCCAAAGCUCAAAUUUGGAAGAGAAAGUAAAAUGAGGGGCAUAGAAAAGAUGAUGUUGCAAUUGCAGCAGAGGAGAUCUCUGGUCAUCAAGGCAUUGCAUUGGGAGAUGAGUUUGAGGAGGUGAAAAAGACAAGAGAAGAGGAAGGAAGCAUGAGAAGAGAAAGAGUGAAGAAAUAAGGGAAUGAAGAGUGUUCAUGUUGGGUGGGUGUGAAGGACGAUUGUGCUUGGCAUACAACUUAUUUAUGAGUGAUUGGCAUUGCAUGCAAUUUCUGAGUCAUUUUGCCAAAUCAAGACUCCAUCAAAAUACUGUUCCACCAAUUUAGUUAAGUCUUUUUGGUCAAUUUUUUCCAACAUAGGAUAAUAAUUUAUUAUUUAAAGCUGUUAGUGAUGAUGCAUAAAUUAUUUAUUGUUAGUAUUAGAGAUAAGUUGUUAAAUUCACACUUAAUUUACUUUAUGUCUUUCCUUUUUGUUAAUUUUAAUUUUGAAGAAUGAGAUUUUAAUAUUUUAUGGAUCUCAUUAAAUUAUUAAUGCCAAGGUUGUAGUUUUCUUGCCCACUCCUUACUCUAUAUAAAUAAUCAUCUAAAUCUAAGUUAUUAAAAAAGACUAAAUUAUAGCACUUUAAACCCUAUUAGAACCAUUACUACGCAUAGGAUGAGCAAAUAUGAUAAUUCAACUGAUAUUUUGAGUUUAAAUUAUAUAUUUUAGGUAUCGACUUUUUAGCACAAAAAAUCCAUGUUACAAAUAUUUUAACUUUAAUUUAUUUUAAACUCAGGUAAAUUUUAUCAUUUUUAUGUUAUAUAUAAUUAUUUCUACAACAUUUAAUUUUUUUUUAAAUAAAAAAAUUACAAUUUAAUUUUUUAAGUAAACUAUGUUAUAGCACCAAAAAUAUAAAUUUUAACUUAUAAUAUAAAAUCAAUUUUUUAAGAUGAAAAGAUCACUUUUGAAGGGACAUGGACGGAAGCGUCAGUCCUGUAGUACGGAGAAACGAUAAAUAUUUGUUGAGAAGGCUAAAUGCGGAUUCUAAGCCUCAUGAGCCCUUUUUGGGAAUCUCGACAACAUUUGGCUAAAUGAAUUUAAUGGCUCAUGCUUUUUGGGGAAAAAUAAAUAAACUUAAUAAAAAUGAAAUUUUAUUGAAUAAAUGAAAGAAACAAAUGCUAAAGCUUUUUGGGAGAGAGAGCUUUUACAGAAAAGAUGAGUUAAAUCUGUGUCACUCCAUCCCCUAUUUAUAGUACUCAAAAGACCUAGUUUAUUCCUUUCUAAAUUCUAAAAGAUAAAUAAAGAUAAAAGCUAGAAUUAAAUCUAAAUAAUAAUCUUAACAAUAAUCCUAAUAUAAUUAAAAUUCAAAUAGAGUCUUGUGUUUAUAAAAUCUCUUCUUUGAACUAUUGCCCCCAAGUCUUCCACACUUUGCAUUUUCGGCACCAUUUCUUUCCUAUUUUGCAUCCUGACCCAUUUUAUCUUCAAAUUCAUGAUUUUUGCCCCUAAAUUUUAUUUUUCCUUCAAUUUAGUCCCUACAAUAUAAAAACCAUAAAUAGCUCAAUUUAGUAGGAUCAUACUCAAAAUAAAAUAUAUAAGUAAUUAAUACAUAAAGAUAUGUCAUUCCAGAGUAUUAUCAACAACGUUCAACCAUUGUGUACAAAUCAAGUCACAUUAUAAAGACAAAAUUAUAGUAAGUUUCUUAGUUGGAUGAGUGGAAAUUUUGAUGAUACAAUAUAUACAACUUUUCACUUUUGAAAGAAACAUUUUUAAAUUUCGGCUUUCAAACUUUCUUAGACUGUAUUUGGAGGAGAAAUUUGGAGAAAAAAUUUCAUUUCUAUAUUAUUAUUUAAUUUUAAUAUUUCUUAUGUUUUAUAUUAUUAAAAAUAUUUAUAAUUUAAUUUCGAGUUGUAUUUUACAAUUUAAAUAACUCGAAUAAUUCAAACAAAAAAUUGGUGUACAUGCUCCUUUGGUCCUUGUCAAUUUUAAAAUUUAACAACUUGAUCUCUCUCAACCAAAAUUACAAAAUAAUUUAAAAUAAUUUUCAAAAUAUUCAAAAUAAUUUUUAAAAUUCAAAAUAUUCAUAAAAAUUCCAAAAUUUUAUAUUUUUAAAAAUUAAAAUAUUUUUUUUUAUUUUUCAUUUUUGGGGGAGAUGAGAUUGAGAAAGAGAGGAUGAGAAGAGAAAGAAGAAAGGUAGAAAAGGUGAAACAAGGAAAUGGAGUCUCAUGUUGGUUGGGUAUGAAGAAAGAUUAUUUUCAUGCAACAUUUUAUACAUAAAUUUGUAGUUUCCAUAAAACAUUAUCUUUUUACUUAAUAAUUAAUUCCAAUGCAUAUCAUUAUUUACAAAAGUAAAGGUAAUAUGGAAAUUUUUUGAAAUAUUUUAAUUAAAUCCUUAAGUUAAUUAUGAUGAUUCAAUGUGCAAACUAUUUAAAUUUUGGUUAAAAUAUGUUGUUAGUUCUUGUAUUUUGGUCAAAUUUAAGAUUUAGUUCAUAUAUUUAAAAAGUUAAAAAUCUCAGUGCAAUCAUUAAAUCGCAAGUAUUUUUUGUAAAACUUGUCAACUUGAAAUUUUGAUUAAUGUGUCAUCUUAUGGCGUGACAUAUGAUUGAUGAAAAUAAACAUAUUAAACUGAUAAAUUUUGACAAAAACUAUCAACGAUGAUAAUGGCUUGAUUAUGAUUUUUAAAUUGAAAAAGUAGAAGAAUUGAAUUUUUAACUUUUAAAGUAUAGGGAUCAAAUAUUAAAAUUAAAAAUUAAAAAAAUAUGUUAAUUUUUUAAAAAAAUACAUAAAAUUGGAGUAAAAUGUUUGACAGGCGUGUGGAAAUAUUGCAGCCUAUUGCCCUAUUGUUGCUUUAUGCAAUUAAUCUUUUAUUGGCCAAAGUAAUUCCAAUUUCCAAUUAUAUAAUGGUAACCACUAAAAGCAAAAGUAGUGGGAAACAUCCACCAAAUCAACAAAGAGAAACUGCAAAAUCAUUGAUUUCAAACCCAUUUAAUUUCCAUGAAUCUUCCCCAUAUAUUAAAGUCAUCCUAAAUUACAAUUUUAAAAUUUUUCAUACUCUCUUCUUAGUCUUCAUAUCAAUUUCUUCAUGUUUCACACUUAUUUUGCUUUACCAAUGUCUUUUUUGUUUUUCCAUUUGUUAAUUCCAAUUUUGAGCAUGAUAUUUGAUUGGAAUUUGUUGGGUUGUUUUCUAGUCACCAUCAGCCCGACUUUAGGGUAGUUUGGGAAUGUGGCCGUUUAGGGCUCUAAAAAUUUCUUUUUUUGAUACAAUGCCUAAAACUACCCAGUCUCUCCCCAAUCCAUAAAUAGGAGGAUAAUGCACUUCGGCGUACUCGAACCCACGUCCUUCUGUUAAAAUAAAAAUUUAAGUAAAAUUAUAAAACUAAUCCCUACAAUUUUUGUUUUGAAUGAAUUUAAUUCUUUUGGCUUUUAUUUCUACCGGGGAUAGUUUCGUUGAAGUAAAUGAUUUCUUCUCUUAGCUAAGUAAUUUUCUCUCGCAUUAUGAGUACUUCAUAUUUGCUUCUUUAAAUUCAAACCAGAGUCAUAUCACAGCAAAGGAUGAUGAUGAAGCUAUUAGUCUUAAUGGAUGAAUUAUUUAUUCUUAGUCUUAGCAUUAAGGUUUUCAAUUCACAUUUAAUUUGCUUUUGCAUCUUCAAUUUUUUAUAUAUAAUUUUUUUUCAAUUCUAAUUUUGAAAUAUGAGAUUUUUUUGGUCUUAGUGUUCUUAUUGAUGCCAAUAUUUUAGUCUUUCUGUCUCAUCCUUAUUCUAUAUAUAUAUGAAAAUUUUCUUAUAUCUAAAUUAUUAAAAAGACAAAAUAGUAGCAAUAAUAACAUAAAACCUUGUUGGAGUCAUCACCACGCAGAGAAUGAACUGUGUCACCACUCCUGCUGGUUAAAUUAAGGAAUUGCAAGGCUGUAUGAUCCACAGGAAAGACAACCCAUGGUUGCACAUUAUUCAGGUCCCAUGUCUGCAACUAUGGCUCGACCAUGAUUAGCUAAAGAUAAUUCAACCACACCCUCUCCUAUAACCACAUUAAAAAUAGUUACAUUGAUGAUAAAGUCCUAUAAACCUGAAAUUUUUUAUAGUAAAAUCAUUCUAUUCUUAAGAUUUAUGAUCAUAGACUUAACCAUAAAACUAAAAAAUUUUUGCCAACGCUAUGCUUUCUCAACAUCUUGUAAGUUCUUGGACGAUGUGAAUCUACCAACACCAAGCUAUACCAUGCUCAGGGGCUGCAUAAAUUGCAAGAUAUAGAAGUAAAUAAGUUAUAUACUCCUGGUAAAAUAUAGAGGGAAAAUUACAAACUAGUGGAUUAAUCUUGUUAAGAUCAUUGUCAAGAUUCUUAACAGUGUCUCACAUGCCAGUGAGGUCAACUGCUGGUGGCACUCCAGUGUAAUUCUAAGAUAAUAAGAUUUCAUGCAAAUUACAUUUAGAGAACAUGAGCCACCUUAAACAAGAUGCAGACUUGCUUCGGUGAUAAGCCUUUGCACCUUAUGCAUAUCCAAUCUGUACUUUAUGUUGGCAAUGCACGUUUUCUUUUCCAUAGAAUAGAUAACAAACUGCAAUCAACACGCCUUACUGUCUUCUUAGACCAUGAGCCUGAAAAUUAGAACAUGAAGCUUCUCAUUUAUCUACCAACAAGUAUGUCUUUCAUAUGCUUAAACUUAAUUCAAGCAUGAUUAAAGAAGAUGUCAAGGAAAAGAUAAUUAGUUAGAAACUUUUACCAUUGUUUUCAAAGAUAAAGUUAACGAUCUUUGCUUGAGCUUGUCCUGUUUCAAAGAGGCACAUCUAGCAGUGGUGUCUCUUUGCAGAAUCACUCUGUUAAAUGUGGCUUUCAUCAGCAUCAACUCAUCAUAUUAUCUUCCAAGCUGCACAAAAAUAAUUUGAAAAUAAAAUUCUGAACUAAAGAGUAAAUUCAUAUUAAAGAAGGCUUGGAAAAGCCAUGAUCCUUGUUUAUAAUAUAGCAUUAUUGGCAUGAAAGUUCAAUGCUAGAGACAAAUUACGUACCCCUAAUGGCUCUGAAUUGAAGCAAAAAAGAACCUCACAAGGGAGUUGUUGUUCCAAUAGGGUCGGAAGCGUGUAAAUUAUUGUACUAAAAAAUCACACAAAGUUCAAUUCCCAGGGAAGAGAGGUGGAUCACAAGGAUCUCUUAAAUACCAAGUCUUUCCUUAGACAGAAUAUCCCUUCUAUAGUAAUUUAAUAGCACAAUUAAAUACUACUAUUAUACCCUCAAAUAUUGAAAGAAAAAUAGGACAAGAAAAAACACAAGAGUUUUAACGAGGUUCGGUAAAUUAUACCUACGUCCUCGAGCACUAACACCAGAUGAUAACUUUACUAUCUUCAAAGUAUUACAAACAAAUAGAAUUCCUUAAGAAUUCUCAAAUGAGAGAAGAGAGAAAACUAAGAGAGAAAGAUUGGUUGGGAUGAAUUGAAAUGAGAAAUGAGAAGGCCUAUUUAUAGUUGAGGUUUAAGGACCAAACAAUAAAUAGCCCAUUAUCUCAAGGACCAAAAAAAAAUUAUCCCAUGCCACUUUUUCAAAGUCAACUUUAGGGUGCUAAACUUGCACCACUUUGUAUUGUUUGCCAUUAAUGUUGUCUCCCAUUAAUGUUAACAGGAGUUUCUUGAUAUUAGAUUUUGCAUAUCAAGUAUGCUGCUCAUGUUCAACUCACAAUAUUCAUAGAGCAUUCCAAAACUCAUCCUUACCAUAAAUGAGUUCGAUUAAAUUAAAGAAGAUUGAUAGUCAAGACAUUGGGGAGUUUUGCCCCUGCUACAAAAUCGAGAGAGAAAAAAAAAACAAUUUCAGUAUCUGGAUUUAAGAAUUAUGGAUUAGUUGCUCUAACAGAGGAAUGCUUCCUAGGAAAUAAGUUAUAGAAAGGAUUUACAUGAAUCGUAUAGAAGUGAGUAUAUGUAAGUGCAUCAUCACAAACAGCCAAGGACCCUUUUGUCGCUUCUUUCAUUGCUCUUUUCGAAGAGUCUUUUGGAGUUGCAAACCUAAUCCGGCAUUGCGAAAUGAUAAAAUGAAUGUCAAUGCUACAAGCCUACGACUACAAAUACCAUAUGAUAGUGAAGUGUGUCAAGGGACAAAAAAUAAGCUUAGGAAAUUCAGAAUUAGUUUGUAACAUCAAUCUUUUCAAAAUAUAAGCCAACGACUACAAAUACCAUAAGAUUUUGAAUAAUUUGUGAAAGAUAAUGGUUCUUGCAGUUUUUUAAUUUUAGUUAUUAAUAUUUUUAUCACUUUUCAAAGAUAAAUUAAACAAGUGCUUUAGGUUGUUUGCCAACUCUGGAAAGCACACCACAUUGUAAUUAAGACAUCAUUUCGAAUGCCAAAUUGGAUUGAGUCCCUUACUUUAUAUCCACUACUCUGCAUUCGCAUUCAAAUAUAAACUGGCUUUUUAUUGGUUGAAUUGGAUUCGAUAUAUAAACAAUCAAUUUUUUCUUGAAAAAAUCAUUUAAUUGAACAUUGUAAGUAUUAGUUAACUCAACAGUGUCCGAUUAAUUAUCUGAUUUUGUAUUGAAAAUCAUAUAAUAAACAUAUCGUUGUUAAAUAGAUGGGUUUGGAUUUAUUUUUUUCAUUAUCCAAUCCAAGUGUUCUAAUUGAUGCCAAUGCCAAUGUUUCGGACGCUUAAAAUAUUUGGGUUUAGAUUUUUUUUUUCAUGUAUUUGAUGCUUAAAAUAUUUUAGAUGCGGGCCGUCUCGAUUUUAUAUCAUAAUUGUUUAUAUAUAAUUUAAAUUUUUAAAAUGUAAAAGUGUACCAUUAAAAUCUUUUAAUUAAACUUUGGUAUAGCACCCAAAAAUAUAUUAACUUAUAUGUGAAAUCAAUUUACCAAUAAGCAUUUUAGUCCUAAUUUAUUAAUGAGUAUGCAACUUAUGAAUAUGUUAGGAUUUAUCAAAGGGUUAAUUCACUUGAUGUCCCUAAACUAUGGAUUAUAUGUUAAAUUGAACUCUAAACUUCAAAAAAAUAUAAAGCCCAACACAUGAUUGAUAAAAUAUAAAGCUAAUGUCUCUUUGGAAAAGCAAAGGGUGGAAGUAGCAGCGUAUGCGUCUUUUUACACAAUCAGCCCAAUGUCCAUCAGAUUAGGCUUUCAUCAGCAUCAAGCCAUCAAAUCUCCUCAGCUGUUAGGAUCAUUGUUAGGAUCACUGCCUAGAUUCUUCAUGUACCUCAUAACUGUUCAUUCCAUGUCUUGGAUCAAGUACCUAUGCACUUCAACAAGGUAAAUUUGUCAUUGCUACAAGAACAAAUACAAUAUGAUAUGAUAGUGAACUUUGUCAAUAUAUAUUAAGAGAAAAAAUGCUUGUAGUCAUUGUCGAAACCUUUUUGGAAUAAAAUAUAACACACUAAAAAUGAUAGGGACCGAAUAUGAAAAUAUCCCUUGUCCUUAUGCGCACCGUUUCUCAAGGACUAAAAUGAAAUAAAAUUAAAAUUUUGUGGUAAAAAUAACAUAAAACCCAGACCAACAGGUCCACCCUUUACAUCCAAAUGAGCAUUUUGAGCACUAAUUUAUUAAUGAGUAUGGAACUUAUGAAUAUGUUAGGAUUUACCAAAGGGAUAAUUCCUUAAAUUAUGGAUUAAAUUUUAAAUUGAUUUUUAAAUUUUAAAAAAAAUUAAUUAAGUCCUCAUACUAUAAAUCACAUUCUCAUUUGAAAUUUUUAAUUUUGGACUAAAAAAAGAGAAUAUUAGUGUGAGAUAUUGUUGGCCUUUGGCUAACAUUGGAAAGCAUACUAGAUUAAUUUUAAGACAUAAUUUAUUUCAUUAAAUUUUAAUUAUUUUUAUUUUUAUCAUAUUAUUACUUAAUUCAACAAUAUUUUUUAAAUUAAUUUAAUUUUUUAAAUUAAUAAACUAUCAUUGAAAAGAUAAUUAAUUAAACCACUUAUUUUAUUAUUUGAAAGGUCGAGAAAUUGUAAAUUUUUUUGACUCUUUAAGAACUCUAGAAACGCACUUAUGUUACAGGAUCCCAGAUACAAUCGCCUCAACAUUGGGAAAGAGAAGUUUGCAUCACUUAAGGGAAGUUGUUUUGGAAAAUCAAUCAUAUUGAAAGAAAGGUAUACCUGUGAAAGAGUGCUCUUCCACAACCAAUUAGGCACAACACCAUGGAUAUGGUUGUUAGAAAGAUCCAGAGAAAUCAACUUGUCUUGUGUUUUGAUGAAUUCUGGAAAUUCAGUAAGGUUGCAUGAACUUAGCCUUGGGCUUUCUAAUAGGGGAAAACUAAGACUUAUGUUGUCACUUUCAAUUAAGAAGCUUAUAUGUUUGCUUUCAAUUUAAAACCAUUUAUUAUGUUGAUUAAAUCAUAGUAUUAAUUGUUAUUCAAAUUUAAAAUAAAGAAAUUAUCUUAAAUUUAAAAAGUAAAGUAGUUAAUUGAUUCCAAAAGUCUAGUCCAUUAUUUAUAAAACAAAAAAAAAAUAUUUCUCAAGGUAUCUAGUCAGUAAGUAAAUAUUUGCAUUUUGUAAGCCCAUUUAAAGAGUAGAUGCCACGAGUUUUAAAGUUGCUUCAUACUUAAGGCGAGGAUCAAACCCUCGACAUUACUAUAAAUCAUAUUAAUUAUGAUAUUUUCGUCAUUUUGCUUCAUCUUUAUUCUGUAUGAAUAAUAUUCCAGUAUUUCAAUUGAUUUGCCUCAAACUAUGAAUCAGAUCUAAAUUAGUAUCUAAACUUUAAACUAUUCUAAUUAAGUGUUGAAACUAUGAUUAAUAGUUUGAGAGAUUAGUCAUGCAAGCAAAUGUUCAAGUCUUUUGCCUCCUCAUUACUGCAUGAGUUGAACUACUUCGUUUAUAUCAAGUCAUUAAAAAGCAAAUAUAAAUAUUAUUGUCCUUAAUGCAUGCAGAUGCAAUUGUUGAGGUCCUUUUGCGAUAUCAGUAAUGCAUGAAAAUUAUGAUCAACCACUUUGUUGAAGUCUUAUUCUCCUUAUUAAUGCUAAUGUUUCAGUCUUUUUAAGUCUAAGCAUUAUUAUUAAAGUCCAAAACAAAUAAUCAUAUGUUGAAAUAUGUUCAAUAUUUAAAUUUAGUACAUAAAAAUUUAAAAGAAAUCAAAUAAUAGAUUAGAUAUUAAAAUUUGUUGAGUCAAGUUUUUGGAUAUUGCUUAUAGGAAGUAGUCACUUCUAUAACCCUCGCAACAAUUUUAUACUCAUCAUAUUUGAUGUUCGCGAUUUAUUGAUAUAAAAUUUUUAGACAUUAAAUGGUGUUAUUAUUCUAAAUAUAUGCAAGCUCGACUUUGAAAUCCAACUUAUUUUAAACAUCUUCCCUUUUUUGUUGUGGAGAAUGGACCGUGAUUACAUUGAAAAUACCAUUGAAGAAUGAUAAUUAAAAUAAUCAUAUUUUAUACUAUAAAAUAUUUAUUAUUGAAUAUUUAUAAAAUAUAUAUAUUUUUCUCAUUAAAAUAUCAAUAUAAAUAUUUUUUAAUAAUAUAUUAAGAAUAUUAUUUAAAAUUAAAUUAAACUAUUAAAAUUUAUUAAUAAAAUAAAAUUAUAAUAUUAAAAUUAAAAAUACAUUACUAAUAUAAUUAUAUUAAACUUGAUUCAAGUUAGUUUUUAUAUAAAAAUAAAAAUAUUCAUAAAUAAGCUUAGUUCGAUAAAUUAAUUAUGUUUUUCAAAAAGACAAAUUAAUUUACAGAAAAAUGAUAUUAUUUAAAUUUCCAUACUAAAAUACUUUUAAAUUUAAUUAAAAUUAUCAAAGACUAAUGAGAUUCACAAAAUGUCUCAUAUUAUUUAACAACUUCUCAAUUUUUUGAAAAAAUCAAUUUCAUUCUCUCUCUUUUUUUUUCAAAAUUUAUCAACCCUUGAAACACAAAAAAUUUAAUAUUUUUAAUUUUUGACUGACAAAAAAAAUGAUGCUAUGAGAUAUUUUUUAUAUUAUUAGACCUAAUCUUAAUCUUUGGUAUUCCAUGCAAAUGUCUAAAUCUUCUUAGGGAGAUGGAUCGAUGGACAUAAGUAGUGGAAAUUUUGAUGAUACAAUUCUUCUCUUCUUAACAAUUUCUUUCAAAGAAAUAUAUUUAAAUUUCCACACCAAAACUUCUUUAGAUUUAAUUUAAAGGAAUAAAUCCUAAAAUUAUAAAGUAUGGAUUAAUGUGUAAUUGUAUACAGGAAUUUGAAUUUUGUGCAAUGUUAUACAUGAAAUUUUGAUUUGAUCCAAUUCUUAUAAUUUAUCAACACAAUUAUUGAUAUAAAAUCAUUUUAUGUUUAUAUAUUAUAUACAUAAAUAAUUAUAUUUAUCCAAUAUAAAAAUAAAUUGAUGUAUUUAUUUCAUUAAAUGCGUAUGAUUAAAUCAAAAUUAAAGUUCAAAGUAUAUAUUUGAACCACAAUUAGAGUUCCACGUGUAUAAUUACUCCAAACAAAAGUUCAUAUAUACAAUUACACAUUAAAUUAAAGUUGAUAUGUAAUUUUGAGAUUUAUUCCUAUUUGAAAUUAUCAAAGACAAAUGAGAUUAACGAGAUGUAUUAUAUUAUAAACAAAGUUUCAAUUCUUUGAGAAAGUUAAGCUCCAAUUUCAAAAGUUUUUUUUCAAAGUUUAUCAAAUGAAUUCAAAUUUUAAAUCUAAAAUAUGGAUUUUUUUUUAUCUUUUUUAAAUCUAAUGUCAGUUCCAAUUUUCUAGUGUUUUAGAUUGUUUACUAAACUAAAAAGCAAACCACAUUGUAAGGCAUCAUUUCUUUCAUUAUAUAUAUUUUUUUUUACGUAGACACCAAAUUUCAUCGGGAUACAAAUCAGCAUUUUGUGAUAAACUCAAUUUAACUCAACUUUAAUUGUAGCAAAGCUUCUAACCGGGGGCUCUUUUUCCACCAUUUUUCUUCAACACAUUCGGCUCCCAGCUCUCUGGAGGCAUCCUCCAUCACUGAACAUUCUUCACUCACCUUCAUCAUUGCCACCACCAACCACAUCAGCAUCAACAUCAUCAUCUUCAUCUUCAUGGAUACGAUUUCUAUAUCAUUGCACAACGUUUAAAGAACUUCGAUCCUAAAAAGGAUACUUCUAAAUUCAACCUUGUUGAUCCACCUGUGAGGAACGCAGUUGGAGUGCCUGUGAAUGGAUGGGCAACCAUUAGAGUCGUCGCUGAUAAUCCAGGUAAACACCCUUCUUCAUCAUUUCAAUUACUGUGAUUCCAUUACCAUUUUUUUUGUUAUUAGUAUUUUUCUUAAUCAUUUUCAUAGUAUUGUGGCAUACCAAUUCUUCCCUGCAUCUGGGAAACUAGUUUAAUGCUCUGUUUCAUUGGAUAAAUUUCCCUAAAAAGUAUGUGCACAUUGUAAUACUAGUGUGAGAUAGUGUUGGCCUUUGGCUAACAUUGGAAAACAUACUAGAUUGUAACACUAAAAUUCUGAUGGAGUCACCUACACCUUACCUUAAACAUGAUAUGCUGGCAAUAAUGGUGAACGUUGUGAACAUGACAUAGUAAACAGGACAUACAACAGUAGUAUUAAAAGUGUCUAAAGCAUGCAAAAUUGUAAGCUUUUAGUAGCAUCAAGAAUAAUAACUUAAAUUUAGAGUCAAUCAUCAUAUUAAAUCAAGAAUAUAAGGUUGAAAGAAAUUAUUUUUAAAAAAAACACAUUUAUGCUUUUUUAUCCUAUAAGCAAUUUAAUAAUGAACAAAUUGAUCUCUCAACAAAAAUUACAAAAUAUUUCAAAAUAAUUUUUAAAAUUCAAAAUAUUUAUAAAAAUUUUAAAUUAUAUAUAUUUUUUCAAUUGUAAGAAUUUUUUUAUUAUUUUGUUUUGAAAAAGUUUUCAAAUGUAUAUAGUUUUAAAUUUAUGUGCUCUAACAUUGAAUUAAUUAUCUUAUAACAAGAUUUUAAUUUGACAUAUUUAAUUUUUUAAUUGAACUUGAAUAAUUUCACUUGAUUCAAUUUGACUCAAAUUUCAUUUCACUCGACUCAAUUUGAAAAAAUGUCAAAUCAAGUUAGGAUGAUAAAUAGGACUCAUCAGUUCAAUUAACUCAAAAAUUUUUCACUUGAUUCGAUUAAACACUCAUAAAAAUCAUCAAAAAUAAAUGAGACAGAGAUAAUUUGCUGAAGGAUAAGAUGAAAUGUGUUUUAGAAAUUAACAUUUUUUUUCUUUCGCAUGCAAGCUAAUGUUCAAGUCUUUUUACCCAAUAAUGAGUACUCCUAAAUCCUAAUUAUUAAGUAGUAUCCAACUUAUAAAUAUGUUAUGAUCCACCAACGGGUUUAAUUAAAUCCAACACCCCAAAUUAUGGGCUCAACUCUAAAUUCAAGAUUUGGCAUUGCAUGUAAAUGUCUAAGUCUUUGCCCGAUCCUUACUAUAUGAAAACAAUGGUUUACCACUUUGUUUAAGUCAAGUCAUUAUAAACACAAAAAUAAAGCAUAUGUGUUAGCUGGUUGAGAUGGAUUGAUGGGAAUAUGGAGUGGAAAUUAUGAUAACCGCACAAUUUCUGCGAAACUUCGAUUGGUACAAAAUAAGUGCGAGGCUGUACCAAAACCCAACAUGUGUUUGAUAAAAUAAAAACCCCAUGUGUCAGCAAACGGUGGGAGUAGCAGCAUGCAGCUGUCUCUUUACACAAUCAGAACAAUGUCCAUCAGAUAUGGCUUUCAUGUUUGCUGGCUGUGAAGGAGGUUGUUUCCAUACAACUUAUUUAUACACAAAUUAGUACUUUCCAUACAUUAUUUUUAAUUUUGGACUAAGCCCGAUCACUAUUGCAUGAAAAUAAUGUUGUACCACUAAUUUUAUUUUAGUCAAUUAAUAAAAAAAAAUGGAAUUGUGGUGAUUUUUUUUAGCUGGUUGAGAUAAAUUGAUGGCUCAAAAACUAAAUUUUCUCAUAACUUUGAUGACUUUUCAAUGAACUUAAAGUGUAUGGAAUCAAUAGAAAUUUAUGGAAUGAGAUAUUAUUGGACUUAGUCUCAGCCUUUUGGCACUGCAUGCAAAUGUCUAAAUCUUUUUUACCCCAUGAAAACAAUGUUUAGCAAGUUUCUUAGGUAGUUGAGAUGGAUUGAUGGGCACAAGUAGCAGAAAUUUUGAUGAUAAAAUGUUUACAGUUUUUCUCUUCUUAGGCGCAAUUUCUUUGAAAGAAACAUAUUUAAAUUUUCACAUUAAAAUUUCUAUAGAUUUAAUUGAAAUUAUCAAAGACAAAUGAGACUGGCAAGAUAUCUUAUAUUAUUAACAAUUUUUCGAUUCUUUGAAAAAAUUAAUUUCAAUUUCAAAAGUUUUUUGAAAUUAAUAAAACUAUCAUUGAAAGGAUAAACAAACUAGUAUAAAAAUAAGUGUCCGGCUGAACUAAAACUCAGACCAACAGGUCCACCCUUUACACCCGGUCCUAAAGCCCAACACGUGAUUGAUAAAAUAUAAAGCUAAUAUCUGUUUGGAAGAGCAAAGGAUGAGAGUAGCAGCAUCUGCGUCUCUUUACACAAUCCGUCCAAUGUCCAUCAGAUAUGGCUUCCAUCAACAUCAUGCCAUUAAAUCUCCUCAGCUGUACAAAUAUUCUGAAGAUAAAAUAAUUGAAGUAAAAGUAAAUUGCAUAUAAAAGAAAGCUUGGGCAGCCAUUUCCUUGUUUAUAAUAUCAUUAUUAGCAUGGAAAUUCAGUAGCAGUGAAACAUUGCAUCCCCCAAAUCCACAGGGACCUGGAUGCAAAAUGAAUAAACACUUAUUUAUACUCAUGGAAAACUACAACAGGAAAAAAGUGCAUAUAAAGCAAAAUUACAAACCAGUGGAUUGAUCUUGUUAGGACCAUUGCCUACAUUCGUCAUGAACCUCACAACUGUACAUUCCAUGUCCUGCUUCAAGUACCUCCUGCAUUGCUCAAUGGUAACAUCAAAUUACAAGUACGAUAUAAUAGUGAACUUGGUAAAGACAGCAAAAAAUGAGGUUAUAUAUAUAUAUAUAUAUCAACUAUCUGUUCAAAUUAGAAAGACAAAUGCUUACCAGCUAAUUUUGAAGAAAGAAUUCUGAUGGAGUCACCUAUAUCUUCUGCUAUUUCUUUUCCCACACUUUUUGAACUUGUCCACCCAUUUGUUUCCCAACUCAUUCAGCACUGUAUAUCCAAUACAUAGCCCAACGACUAAUCCACUAGCAUAACCUAUCAACGCAAUUUUCCAAGUAGACAGAGCAUUUAACCAUGAAUCUUCACCUUCCCCUGGAGGUGGUGGCAUUGGAAGACUAACUUCAUUGCAUUUCCUUGACAAUGGCAGCCCACACAAUUUUGGGUUCCCACGGUAGGAAUCAUUUGUAAAUGUAAUGAAUUGGUUGCUUUGUGGUAUGCUCCCUUCAAGUUGGUUGCAUGACAAGUUCAAUGCUGCCAGGAAAGUUAAACUUGUAAGUUGUGCAGGAAUCUUCCCUGACAGCUCAUUCUGUGAGAGAUCCAAAGAUUCAAGAUCUUUUAGAUUUUCAAGUGCUAAUGGGAUUUCACCAGAAAAGCCAUUGUUGGAUAAGUUUAUCACUCUGAGUGACCUCAGCAUUUGUAUCUCUUCUGGUAUUCUCCCAUGGAAACUAUUGUUGGAAAGGUCAAGACAAGUAAGAAUUGUCAAGACUUUUUGGUACAACAUUUCAAUCCCUCUGUUAACAAUUGUCACAGAGUCUUGAUAAUAAUUCUCUCCGAUAUAAUCCAGCGUAGCCUUUUCAUCAUUAGUCAUCUCCGCCAUUGCCUUCAAACUCUGCAAAAAUUCAAUAGACAAGUCACCUGAAAAAUUGUUGGAAGCAAUGUCCAAUAUGCGUAGCUUUGGAAACCCACGUUUCGUGUCAAUUUUUGAAAUUGUGCCGUAGAAUCUGUUUGCUCGCAAAACGAGAACCUUCAAGGAAGGUAGCUUCUCUAACCAAAAUGGGAAUGUAUCAUGAACCAUAUUAUUUCCAAGGUCCAGAACCUCAAGUGCUGUGCAAUUGGCUAAUGAUCUCGACAGCUUCCCUUCCAAUUUAUUCCCACCUAUUUUGAGUGACCUUAGUCGAGUGGGUUGAAGGAAAUCAAUGGAUAGUUCACCAGAAAACUGGUUUGAAGCAAUGUCCAAUACAUCCAAAGUUGGGAAAACAGAUUUAUGUUUGAAAUGUUUAAUUUGACCAUAAAAUCUGUUUUCCCGCAAUAUUAGAACCGUCAAGUAAGGCAAUUUCUCCAACCAAAAAGGGAAUGUAUCAUUCAUCUUGUUGCUUCCCACGUCCAAAACUUCAAGCUGAGUGCAUUCAGCUAAUGAUCUGGGCAACUUUCCUUCCAAUCUAUUCUCACUAACUUUGAGAAACGACAGUUGGGUUGCUUUUGAAAAUUUUGGCAUCAUUCCACUGAAGUUAUUUCCUUGCAGAUCCAACGAAUAGAGAGCACUCAUAUUGCCCAAGCAAUUCGGAAUUGGGCCACUCAAACUGUUAUAAGAUACAUCAAAACGGCCGAGUCGACUCAUUUUGCAUAACCAAUUUGGAAUUGGGCCACUCAAAUUGUUAGAAGAUGCGUCGAAACUGAAAGGCCCCUGUGAAAAAUUUGAACUCUGAUUGGGUAGAAGUUGUUCCAAAGACGAGAGAUGGUUAUUAGCAAGAUACAGAUACCGCAAACUUUUCUUCCACACCCAGUUUGGAAUUGCACCACUUAUUUUAUUAUUUGAAAGUUCGAGAUAUUCCAAAUUUUCUUGACUCUUUAAGAACUCUGGAAAUGAGCUUAUGUUACAAGAUUCCAGAUACAAUUCCCUCAACAUUGAAAAAGAGAAGUUUAAAUCACUUAAGGGAAGCUGUUUUGGAAAAUCAAUCACAUUGAAAGAAAGGUUUACCCUUAAAAGAGUGCUAUUCCACAACCAAUUAGGCACAACACCAUGGAUAUGGUUGUUAGAAAGAUCUAACACAACCAACUUGUCUUGUGUUUUGAUGAACUCUGGAAACGCACUUAUGUUACAAGACCUCAAAUGCAAUACUUUCAACAUUGGAAAUGAGAAGUUAGCAUCAUUUAAGGGAAGCUGUUUUGGAAAAUCAAUCAUAUUGAAAGAAAGGUCUACCCAUGAAAGACUGCUCUUCCACAACAAAUUGGGCACAACACCAUGGAUAUGAUUGCUAGAAAGAUAUAAGUCAACCAACUUGUCUUGCCUUUUAAUGAAUUCUGGAAAUUCAGUAAGGUUGCAUGACUUUAGCCCUAGGCUCUCUAAUUGGGGAAAAGUAAGACUUCCGUUGUCGCUGUCAAUUAACAAGCUUACGUUGGAUAAGUAGAGACCCUUUAAGUUCUUGAGUUGGACAAACAUGUCAAGCUUCAUGGAACUGAAGCUAUUGUCUCGGAUAUAAAGCCAUUCAAGCCUUGGAAGUUGAAGGAUUGAUUUUGGGAUUGUUCCUUUUAAAUAAUUAUUGCCUAUAUAUAAUUCUUGAAUCAAAGAAGAAGAUGCAUUGGGGAACUCAUCAAUUUUCCCAACCAAUUGAUUUUCUCCAAGAUACAAGAUCUUCAACGAUGGAAGAGUAAAUAAAGAAGAAUGUAUUGAUCCAGAAAGCUUGUUCCCUCCUAGAUAUAGGUUGACCAGGUGACUAAGAUUUGCAAUUGACGAUGGAAUGGGUCCAAAAAAAUUGCAAUCAUCAAGCUCUAAAUUUGUCAGGAACUUGAGGUUACCAAUUGAUUGGGGUAGUUUUUCACUGAAAUUUGUAUAAGAAAGCGACAAACUCUGUAAAGAAUUGUUUGAUGAAAAUUCUGGCAACUGACCCAUAAGUUGGUCAUUAUCUGAAAUGUCAAUGCUUUGCAUUUUUGGCGAUAAGAGAUUUUCAGUUGGAAAAUGGCCACUCAAAUUGCAGUUCCUCUGUUGGUGCAAGAGGCAGCAGCAAGCUGUUUCUAGUCUUGCUUGAGUAGUAAGGCUCGAGGCUUGGUGAAGAAGCAAACUCGGAAGCAAUAAAAAACAGAAAGAUGAAGCUAGCAAGUGAAAACAGAAAAGAGAGAAAGAGAUUGAAUGAAAAUGAGCUGAUAUUUUUCAUUAACACAUGAACAAGGCAUUAAGCCAUUACAUAUAUCAGUCAAUAAGUAAAACAAACAAGUAAUCACCUACUAACAUACCUAACACCACUAAAAUGCCUAGUAACUUGGUAAACUUGAUUGAAAAACAAAAAAGCUUCUACCUAAGCUUGUCAUUCAGCACCUAAUUACAUCAAAAUGCAGCUACCAACUAAGUUUGAUCCUAACUAAAUACAAAACAUUCAAUUAAGGAAACCAAAUGAAUAGCUUCAGCUUGCUGCAUCAAUUUGCUGCUGAAGCACGUUCCUUGCAUGGCCACCUUUGCUGCUACAUGGGAGCUGACUUCAACACUCCUCCUCAGCUUCUAUGCAGCAGACUCCUAGCUUCCUCUUCAGGCUUAGAUAUCUUGAUACACCAAGAGGCUUUGUGAAGAUAUCGGCAAUCUGAUUUUCAGAACUGCAAUGGAUUAGCUCAAUUUCUCGAGCUUGUUCCAUUUCUCUUAUCACAUGGAGUUUGAUGUUGAAAUGUUUUGUCCUGCCAUGAAAGACAGGAUUUUUAGCAAUAGCAACUGCUGACUUGUUGUCACAAUGUAUCACAGUUGCUUCAUUCUGCUGUAGAUUCAAGUCACUCAAAAUUUUUCUCAGCCACAUGGCUUGAUUAACAGCAUUGGCAGCUGCUACAUACUCUGCUUCUGCUGUCGAUUGAGCCACCAUUGUUUGUUUUCUUGAGCUCCAACAAAUCAUAGCUGAGCCAAGUGUAAAAGCAUAGCCAGAAGUGCUCUUCAUGUCAUCCUUUGAACCAGCCCAAUCGCUAUCAGUGUAGCCAAUCAGUUUCAACUCUUCAGCCUUUCUAAACUGUAUUCCAUGGUUUAAGGUACCUUUAAUGUAUCUUAGCACCCUUUUCCCAGCCUUGUAAUGUUGCUGGUUACAGCAGUGCAUGAACCUUGAUAGCAUGCUUACAGCAAACAAAAUGUCGGGUCUUGUUGCUGUCAAAUACAAUAAACACCCAACAAGGCUUCUGUAAUCUGUUUCACAGACAGAUUCAUGUUCCUCCUGGCUCGAUAGCUUUAUGCCAAUAGCCAUUGGUGUGCUCACUGGUUUGCAAUUCUCCAUUGAGAAUUUAGCCAGCACUUUCAAGGCAAAUGUCUUUUGUUUCAAGAAGAUUCCUCCUUCUAUUUGAUUGACUUCCAUUCCUAGGAAAUAUGUCAUCAAUCCCAGGUCUGACAUCUCAAACAUUUUCUUCAUUCUUGCUUUGAAAUCAACCAUCAUAAGCUUGUCUCCUCCAGUCACGAGAAGAUCAUCAACAUAUAGUGACACAAUAAGCUGUGUUUCAGCUCCAUUCUUCUUAACAUAGAGUGUUGGCUCACUAGCACUCCUUUCAAAUCCCAAACUGACCAAAUAUGAGUCAAUUCGAGCAUACCAGGCUCGAGGGGCCUGUUUUAGGCCAUACAAGGCCUUUCUUAGCCUAUACACCAAUUGUUCCUUACCAGGCACUAUAAAACCUGGGGGUUGCUCGAUGUAUAUCUCUUCUUCAAGAAAUCCAUUGAGGAAUGCAGACUUGACAUCCAUCUGGUGGAUUGUCCACUGGUUCUGAGCAGCAACUGCAAUCAGCAAUCUGAUUGUAUCGAGUCUGGCUACUGGAGCAAAUGUUUCCAUGUAGUCCAGACCAUACCUUUGACUGAAGCCCUUUACAACUAGCCUGGCCUUUAGCUUGUUUAAGCUUCCAUCUGCAUUGUACUUCACUCGAUAGACCCAUUUUACACCGAUAGUCUUUCUGUUGGCAGGCUUUUCAACCAACUCCCAUGUCUGAUUCUUUACAAUCAUGUUGAUUUCAUCAACCAUAGCUUGUUUCCAACCUUCAUCUGCCUCAGCCUCUUCAAAACUGCUAGGUUCUGCUAAUGCAACCUGUGCCCUUUCAUAAAUAUCUUCUAGGGGCCUUGUGCCUCUCACAGGCACAUCAUCAACAUCCAUUUCAGGUUCUAGCUGCUCAAGUUCAGCUUGAUUAGGCACUAGGUCUUCUGAAAUUGCUUCUGGCUCAUUUUUCUCCCAAUUCCAGCAGGCUUUUUCAUCAAAGAUGACAUCUCUGCUCACUUGGACUUUGUUUGUCAAGGGAUCCAGAACCCUGUAGCCCUUUUUGACUGAGCUGUAGCCUACUAGAACACCUGGUUGAGCCCUUUUAGAGAGCUUGUCUCUCUUUGCUGCUGGUAUUUGUGCAUAACACAGGCAACCAAACACUUUCAGGUGUGCCAAGGAAGGCUUGAAACCAAACCAAGCCUCGAAAGGUGUCUCGGAUGCAAGAGCUUUAGUGGGAAGCCUGUUCUGAAGGUAAACAGCAGUGUUUACUGCCUCAGCCCACAUGGUCUUGGGCAGUUUCUUCUCAAACAGCAGACAUCUGGCCAUAUCCAUCAGACUUCUAUUCUUUCUUUCAGCUACCCCAUUCUGCUGAGGUGUGUAGACAUUUGUAAGCUGAUGUUUGAUACCAGCAUCAUUGCAAAUGGCUUGAAACUGAGCUGAAGUGUACUCAGUGCCAUUGUCUGUCCUUAUCGAUUUCAGCUUGCAACCUGUUUCUGUUUCUACAGCAUUUUUAAACUUCACAAACACUUGAGCUACCUCAGACUUGUGUUUUAAAAAGAAAAUCCAGCAAAACCUUGUAAGAUCAUCAAUAAAGAGGAUGAAAUACCUGUUUUUGCUGAGUGAUUCAGUCCUCAUCGGGCCACAUACAUCAGAGUGCACCAGCUGUAGUCUUUCAGUAGCUCUCCAAGCUGAAUUUGUAGGAAAUGGCAGUCUUGCCUGUUUCCCCAUUUGGCAGACUUCACACACAUCAUCAUGCUCCACUGAGCUGGUGAAGUUCUCUGCCAUGCCCUCUUUGGCCAAUCGAGCCAUUGAUCUGAAGUUGGCAUGUCCAAGCCUUUGAUGCCAAAGCUUGGAGUCUUCAACAGAGGCUGUGUAUGCUGAGUUUGAGUCAUUUGCCCAGUGAACCUCAAAGCAUUUAUCAGUCAUUGUGACUGUCAUAAGGCUUGAUCCACUUGGAUCAGUAAUAUGGCAUUGUUUAUCCUUGAACACAACAGAAUAACCUUUCUCGAGCAGUUGAGCUAUGCUGAGAAGGUUUCUGUCAAUCUGUGGUACCAACAGCACAUUUGGAAUGAUCUUGUUGCCUGUGGGAGUAGAUAUCAGCACUUCUCCUCUUCCUUCAGCCCUUAUAAACUGACCAUUUCCAACCUUGACCUUGGUUUUAUAACUUCUGUCCAAGGUUUUAAACAAGGAGGCAUCUGGUGACAUGUGGUUAGUGCAACCACUGUCCAGCAGCCAGCCUUUAGAGCAUUUCUUCUCAGAAGCUACACAGGAAACAGCAAAGACCUGUUCUUCUUGGUCACUACUGUCCUCAGCUACUCGAGCUUCAACCUUUGACUGCUGAAAUUGAUUCUGCCUUGGCUUACUUCUGUUUUUGCAGACCCUUUCAACAUGGCCCUUCUUCUUGCAGUGUUGGCAUACUGCAUCUGGCCUAAACCAGCAUCUGUCUUCUGGAUGGCCAGGCUUCUUGCAAUAUCUGCAUGGCUGGUCAUUGCUCCUUGCAGCAUCAGGCUUAGGCCUGUUUUUCCAAGGCCUUUUGCCUCUUUGAGCAUUAGUGCUCGAGGUUUCUCUGGCCUUGGCUUGAAAUGCACCUUCUUGGUGAUCUUCAGCUCUGCUAGCUCUUCUUUGUUCCUGAGCAUAAAAGGUGUUGAUUAGCUCAGUCAAAGAGAUGCUAGCAAGAUCUCUUGAGUCCUCUAGAGAGGAUAUCUUGGCCUCAUAUCUCUCAGGCAAAGUGGAGAGGACUUUCUCCACAAUUCUUGCCUCAUCAAAGUGCUCACCUAGGAGCCUUAUGCUGUUAACCACUGCCAUAAUUCUAUCUGAGUACUGCUUCACUGUUUCUUCUUCCUUCAUCUUCAAAUUCUCGAAAUCCCUUCUCAAGUUUAGCAGCUGCUGUUGCCUUGUUCUCUCAGUGCCUUGAAACUCCUCCUUAAGCUUAUCCCAGGCCUGUUUUGGAGUCUCACAGGCCAUGAUUCUGGUGAAGAUGACAUCUGACACACAGUUCUGGAUGCAGGACAUGGCUUUGUGCCUUUUGGUCCUCUCAUCAGCAUGUUGCCUAAUCUGAGCUACUGUGGGAUUAGCCCUCAGUGGUGCUGGCUCAGUAUCUGUGUUGACAACUUCCCACAGAUCAAAAGCCUGUAGGUAAGUCUUCAUCUUGACCAGCCAUAUGUGAAAGCCUUCUCCAUUGAAGACUGGUGGGGCUGCUGGUGAAAAUCCUGAAGAAGCCAUCAAGUUCUUUGUUUUGAAGCAACAGGUCCACUAAGACAAGAGCUCUCGAUACCAAUUGUUGGUGCAAGAGGCAGCAGCAAGCUGUUUCUAGUCUUGCUUGAGUAGUAAGGCUCGAGGCUUGGUGAAGAAGCAAACUCGGAAGCAAUAAAAAACAGAAAGAUGAAGCUAGCAAGUGAAAACAGAAAAGAGAGAAAGAGAUUGAAUGAAAAUGAGCUGAUAUUUUUCAUUAACACAUGAACAAGGCAUUAAGCCAUUACAUAUAUCAGUCAAUAAGUAAAACAAACAAGUAAUCACCUACUAACAUACCUAACACCACUAAAAUGCCUAGUAACUUGGUAAACUUGAUUGAAAAACAAAAAAGCUUCUACCUAAGCUUGUCAUUCAGCACCUAAUUACAUCAAAAUGCAGCUACCAACUAAGUUUGAUCCUAACUAAAUACAAAACAUUCAAUUAAGGAAACCAAAUGAAUAGCUUCAGCUUGCUGCAUCAAUUUGCUGCUGAAGCACGUUCCUUGCAUGGCCACCUUUGCUGCUACAUGGGAGCUGACUUCAACAUCCUCAAACUGAGAGAAACCAAACGAGAGGAAAUUUCCAAGAAAUUGGGAGGUAAAUAAGAGAUUGGGUUCCAAUCAAGGAUAAGUUUGGAAAGAAAAGAGAGUCUUGAGAGUGAAGAACAUAAUGGACCUUUCAAACCACAGCUUGACAGACUCAACACAUGCAGGUUUGGAAGUACAAGAGAUGUGGUUUCACACCAUUUAGUACUUUGAGUUGAAAUGUCGACACCAUCCAAAUAAAGCUCCGUGAGAAACUUCAAAUUCUUGAUAAAUGUCUUGAAGUUUGGUUUCUCCAAUUUUAAAGUAGCUGAGUUAUAAUCGUAACCAUUUCUCCAAUAGCAAUCAUCUUGAUAAGAUAGGUUCAGAGAGACUAACCUUGUUAGGUGUGAGAUGUUCAUUGGAAUUUGGCCAUGGAAACAUGAGCUUGAAAGGUUGAGAUGAGUUAGAUUUUGGAGUUUAUCAAACCCAUAGGAAAACAGAGUGGUAUUAAAGUUGUUUCCAGCAAGAUUAAGGCGUUGAAGACGAUGGAGAUUGAAUAUGGGGUGAAAGCUGCCUGAAAGGUUUUUGUAACUAAGAUCAAUGCCAACGACAUGACCAUAAGCAUCACAAGUGACUCCUUCCCAAGAGCAACAAUCAGUGUUGACAUCCCAGAGGUCAAAUUCGGAAGAGAAAGUAAAAUGAGGGGCAUAGUAAAGAUGAUGCUGCAAUUGCAGGAGAGGAGCUCUCUGGUCAUCAAGGCAUUGCUUAGGGAGAUGAGAUUGAGGAGGUGAAAAAGACAAGACAAGAGAAAGGAAGCAUGAGAAGAGGAAGAGUGAAAUAAGGAAAUGAAGAGUGUUCAUGUUUGUUGGGUGUGAAGAAGGAUUGUGCUUGGCAUACAACUUAUUUAUACACAAAUGUGUAGUUUUCAUGUUUGGCAUAGCAUGCAAUUUCCAAGUCUUUUUGCCCAGUCAAUACUGCAUCAAAAUAAUGUUCCACCACUUUAGUUAAGUCUUUUUGGUUAACCUUUUCCAGCAAGGGAUAAUAAUAAUAAUAAUACUAAUAAUAAAUAAUUUAUAGCAUAAAUUAUUUGUUGUUAGUAUUAGAAAUAAGUUGUUAAAUUCACAUUUAAUUUGCGUUUUAAUAUAUUAUUAGAGAAUAAUAUAUUAUUGAUGUCAUUUUUUUAAUAUUUAAUAUUUAUGUUUUAUGUUUUAUAUUAAUAAAUAUUUUUAUAAUUCGAGUUUCGAGUUGAAUUUUACAAUUUAAAUAACUCAAAUACUUCAAACAAUAAAUUGAUGUACAUGCUCCUUUGGUCCCUGUCAAUUUUAAAAAUUAACAAAUUGAUCUCUCUCAACAAAAGUUUUCAAAUAAAAUUUUAAAUAAUUUUUAAAAUCAAAAUAUUCAUAAAAAUUCUCAAAUUUAUAUUUUGUAAAAACUAUAAUAAUUUUAAAUCAUAAUGGUUUUAAUUUGAAAAUUUUAAAAUCUUUAAUUUAGGACCAGAAAAAAUUGUAGUAUGAAAUAUUAUAGGCCUUUUAAUUUAGGUAUUAAGUCUUUGGCAUUGCAUGCAAAUGUCCAAGUUUUUAUUGCACAAAAAUAAUGUUUAACCAAUGUGUACAAGUCAAGUCACCUUAUAGAUUGAUGGACACAAUAAGUGGAAAUUUUGAUGAUAGAAUAUAUAGAAUUUUUCACUUUUGAAAGAUACAUUUUUAAAUUUCAGCUUUCAAACUUUCUUAAAGCUUGAGAAAUAUUUUCAUUUCUAUAUUAUUAUUUAAUUAUUAUUUAAUUUUAAUAUUUUAAUAUUUUAUAAUAUUAAAAAUAGUUAUAAUUCGAGGUUCGAGUUGAAUUUUAUAAUUUAAAUAAUUCGAAUAAUUCAAAUAACAGAUUGAUAUAUUUACUCCUUUGAUUCUUGUCAAUUUUAAAAAUUAACAAAUUAAUAUUCUCUCUCAACAAAAAUUACAAAAAUAUAUUAAAAUAUUUUUAAAGUUAAAAUAUUCAUAAAAAUUCUAAAAUUUAUAUUAUGUAAAGACUAUAAUAAUUUUUUAUUAUUUUGCUUUGAAACAGUUUUCUAAUAUUUAUGAUUUCAAAUAUUAAUUAUACUAUAAUAAAAUUUUAAUUUGACAUAUUUAUUUUUUAAUUUAAAUCAAACAAUUUUACACAAUAAUGUUUUUUAUAUACCCUAUAAUUUUGACCAGUCAACACUAUAAACAUAGGUAAAAUACAAAUACAUAAGAGCUCAAAAAUAACACUAAAAAAAACAAUUGUUUGAUUUAUUAGUAGAGAAUUGGAUUUUUAAUUCUAAUGAUUAAAUAUCAAACUCAAACAACUUCAAAUAUAUAUACAUAAAGGAUGUUAUGUAACACUCAUAAAAAUCAUCAAAAAUAAAUGAGUACUCCUAAAUCCCAACUUAUAAAUAUGCUAUGAUCUACCAACGGGUUUAAUUAAAUCCAACACCCCAAAUUAUGGGCUCAACUCUAACACUACACCAGAACAGGCUUUUAGCGGCAUAUUUUGUGGCGUUUGGAUUACAAACGCCGCUAAAAAUCGAGCAUUAGUGGCGCAAAGAAUACAACGCCGCUAAAGAUCUAGCAUUAGCGGCGCUUCUUUUAAAACGCCGCAAAAAGUCGGAUGAAUAGUGGCGUUUCCCGAACAAACGCCAUAAAAAAACAUCAUUAGUGGCGUUUACCACACAGUGCCGUAGAAUCUCAAGACCAACACGCAGUGUUCUGGUCUUGAUGUAUAUUAGAAUUAGUGGCGCUUACGAACAAACGCCGGUAAUGCAUAGUAUUAGCGACGCUUAGCGGAAGCGCCGCAAAAGAUGUUAACCAAAACGCAGAGUUUGGUGUUGAUGUAUAUUACAAUUAGUGGUGCUUAUAAAGAAAACGCCGCUAAUGUAUAGUAUUAGCGGCGCUGAGCGUUAAAUGCCGCAAAACAUCUUAACCAAAACGCAGCGUUUUGGUCUUGAUGUAUAUUAUAAUUAGUGGCGUUUAAGGAAAACGCCACUAAAGCAUAGUAAUAGCAGCGUUUGGUUGUAAGCGCCUCAAAAUAUCUUAACCAAAACGCGGAGUUUGGUCUUGAGGUAUAUUAGAAUUAGUGGCGCUUAUUGGAAAACGCCGCUAAACUAUAGUAGUAGCGGCGCUUGUGGAAAGCGCCGCAAAGUAUCCUAACCAAAACGCAGAGUUUGGCCUUGACGUAUAUUAGAGUUAGUGGCACUUAUUUCAAAACGCCGCUAAUGCUUACUAUUUGCGGCGCUUUGUGGUAAGUGCCGCCAAAAAAUGCACAAUAAAAGGAAAAUACAAAAAGCAAGCCAAUUAAAAAUAAAAAACAAAGGAAGCAAUAAGUAAAUAAAUAAAUAAAAAGGUGACUACCAAUAAAACAUUUUAUUAAAAAUUGAAAAUAAAUAAAUAAAUAAUAAAUGAAACAGUUUGUAAAAAAAAUUGAAGUUAAAUAAACUAAGGAUCAUAUUGAAAUCGGAAUAAAAUUAAGGAGUAUAAAUUGUAAAUAAAAAAGGCUAAUAAGAAUUAAAAUAUAACAUGCUAAAAAGAAUAGGGACCGAAUAGGAGAAUAUACCUUGCCCUUAUGCGCACCGUUUCUCACGGGACUAAAAUGAAAUAAAAUUAAAAUUUCGUGAUAAAAUUAACAUAAAACCUAGACCAACAGGUUCACUCUUUAUUAAUGAGUAUGGAACUUCUGAAUAUGUUAGGAUUUACCAAAAGGUUAAUUCCUUAAAUUAUGGAUUAAAUUUUAAAUUGAUUUCUAAAUUUUUAAAAAAAAAUUUGAUUAAGCCCUCAAACUAUAAGUUACAUCCUAAUUUGAAAUUUUUAAUUUUGGACUAACAAAGAAAAUAUUAGUGUGAGAUAUUGUUGGCCUUUGGCUAACAUUGGAAAGCAUACUAGAUUUUAAGAAAUAAUUUAUUUGAUAAAAUUUUUAUUAUUUUUAUUAUUUUUAUCAUAUUAUUACUUAAUUCAACCAUAUUUUUAAAAUUAAUAAAACUAUCCUUGAAAGUAUAAAUAAACUAGUAUAAAAAUAAGUGACGGGCUGAACUAAAACCCGGACCAACAGGUCCACCCUUUACACCCGGUCCUAAAGCCCAACACGUGAUUCAUAAAAUAUAAAACUCAUGUCUGUUUGGAAGAGCAAAGGAUGGGAGUAGCAGCAUCUGCGUCUCUUUACACAAUCAGUCCAAUGUCCGUCAAAUAUGGCUUUCACCAACAUCAUGCCAUCAAAUCUCCUCAGCUGUACAAAUAUUCUGAAGAUAAAAAAAUUGAAGUGAAUUGCAUAUAAAAGAAAGCUUGGGCAGACAUUUCCUUGUUUAUAAUAUCAUUAUUAGCAUGGAAAUUCAGUAGCAGUGAAACAUUGCAUCCCCCAAAUCCACAGGGACCUGGAUGCAAAAUGAAUAAACACUUAUUUAUACUCAUAGAAAACUACAACAGGAAAAAAGUGCAUAUAAAGCAAAACUACAAACCAGUGGAUUGAUCUUGUUAGGAUCAUUGCCUACAUUCUUCAUGAACCUCACAACUGUACAUUCCAUUUCCUACUUCAAGUACCUCCUGCAUUGCUCAAUGGUAACAUCAAAUUACAAGUACGAUAUGAUAGUGAAGUUGGUAAUGACAACAAAAAAUGAGGUUAUGAAAACCUAUAUAUAUACAUAUAUAUCAACAACUAUCUGUUCAAAUUAGAAAGACAAAUGCUUACCAGCUAAUUUUGAAGCAAAAAUUCUGACGGAGUCACCUACAUCUUCUUCUAUUUCUUUUCCCACACUUUUUGAACUUGUCAACCCAUUUGUUUCCCAACUCAUUCAGCGCUGUAUAUCCAAUACAUAGCCCAACGAUUAAUCCACUAGCAUAACCUAUCAACGCAAUUUUCCAAGUAGACAGAGCAUUUAACCAUGAAUCUUCACCUUCCCCUGGAGGUGGUGGCAUUGGAAGACUAACUUCAUUGCAUUUCCUUGACAAUGGCAGCCCACACAAUUUUGGGUUCCCACGGUAGGAAUCAUUUGUAAAUGUAAUGAAUUGGUUGCUUUGUGGUAUGCUCCCUUCAAGUUGGUUGCAUGACAAGUUCAAUGCUGCCAGGAAAGUUAAACUUGUAAGUUGUGCAGGAAUCUUCCCUGACAGCUCAUUCUGUGAGAGAUCCAAAGAUUCAAGAUCUUUUAGAUUUUCAAGUGCUAAUGGGAUUUCACCAGAAAAGCCAUUGUUGGAUAAGUUUAUCACUCUGAGUGACCUCAGCAUUUGUAUCUCUUCUGGUAUUCUCCCAUGGAAACUAUUGUUGGAAAGGUCAAGACAAGUAAGAAUUGUCAAGACUUUUUGGUACAACAUUUCAAUCCCUCUGUUAACAAUUGUCACAGAGUCUUGAUAAUAAUUCUCUCCGAUAUAAUCCAGCGUAGCCUUUUCAUCAUUAGUCAUCUCCGCCAUUGCCUUCAAACUCUGCAAAAAUUCAAUAGACAAGUCACCUGAAAAAUUGUUGGAAGCAAUGUCCAAUAUGCGUAGCUUUGGAAACCCACGUUUCGUGUCAAUUUUUGAAAUUGUGCCGUAGAAUCUGUUUGCUCGCAAAACGAGAACCUUCAAGGAAGGUAGCUUCUCUAACCAAAAUGGGAAUGUAUCAUGAACCAUAUUAUUUCCAAGGUCCAGAACCUCAAGUGCUGUGCAAUUGGCUAAUGAUCUCGACAGCUUCCCUUCCAAUUUAUUCCCACCUAUUUUGAGUGACCUUAGUCGAGUGGGUUGAAGGAAAUCAAUGGAUAGUUCACCAGAAAACUGGUUUGAAGCAAUGUCCAAUACAUCCAAAGUUGGGAAAACAGAUUUAUGUUUGAAAUGUUUAAUUUGACCAUAAAAUCUGUUUUCCCGCAAUAUUAGAACCGUCAAGUAAGGCAAUUUCUCCAACCAAAAAGGGAAUGUAUCAUUCAUCUUGUUGCUUCCCACGUCCAAAACUUCAAGCUGAGUGCAUUCAGCUAAUGAUCUGGGCAACUUCCCUUCCAAUCUAUUCUCACUAACUUUGAGAAACGACAGUUGGGUUGCUUUUGAAAAUUUUGGCAUCAUUCCACUGAAGUUAUUUCCUUGCAGAUCCAACGAAUAGAGAGCACUCAUAUUGCCCAAGCAAUUCGGAAUUGGGCCACUCAAACUGUUAUAAGAUACAUCAAAACGGCCGAGUCGACUCAUUUUGCAUAACCAAUUUGGAAUUGGGCCACUCAAAUUGUUAGAAGAUGCGUCGAAACUGAAAGGCCCCUGUGAAAAAUUUGAACUCUGAUUGGGUAGAAGUUGUUCCAAAGACGAGAGAUGGUUAUUAGCAAGAUACAGAUACCGCAAACUUUUCUUCCACACCCAGUUUGGAAUUGCACCACUUAUUUUAUUAUUUGAAAGUUCGAGAUAUUCCAAAUUUUCUUGACUCUUUAAGAACUCUGGAAAUGAGCUUAUGUUACAAGAUUCCAGAUACAAUUCCCUCAACAUUGAAAAAGAGAAGUUUAAAUCACUUAAGGGAAGCUGUUUUGGAAAAUCAAUCACAUUGAAAGAAAGGUUUACCCUUAAAAGAGUGCUAUUCCACAACCAAUUAGGCACAACACCAUGGAUAUGGUUGUUAGAAAGAUCUAACACAACCAACUUGUCUUGUGUUUUUGUUGGAACAAUGACAGCAGCAAACAUCAAAGCAAAUUUGCAACUCAAUGUUUGCAAGACUGAAGCAAGAAGAAUCAAGGCAAGCAAAGCAUCAAAAAUCAAAAUACUCAGCAAUGUUUGUGACUGAACAUACCUCAUUUUUCAUUCAACUUGAAAUAUAUAAAAGAGUUACAAUUGUACAUUGACAGUUACCUAAUGUAUUUAACUGCCCCAACUAAUACAAACCUAAUCACUAGCCAAAAAUAAUCAAACAUAGCUGACCAAUCAGCCAUUACAUCAAAAGAUCAUGUCACUAACUUAAGUUUAACUAGCAUUACAAACAAACUAAAGUUGAACUGAAUCAAAUUACAUCAAAACAAAACAGCAAAGUUGGUUGCUUCAUUCAGUUCAAAAACCAUUCGUGCGCACCAAGCAAAACGAGCUGAGCUCGAUAGCUGCUGGUCUCGAUAGUAGCAAGCUUUUGGCUCCAUGUUGCAUUGCAGUCCAGCUUUCAACACUCCUCCUUGGACUGUAUGCAACACAUUCCAAUUGCACUUCUCAAAGAUUCAAAUCGAGCAGCCCCUAAGGGCUUGGUCAUUAUGUCAGCCAAUUGUGCUCCUGAGCUGCAAUUCACAAGGCUGACUUCCUUUGCUUGUUCAGCCUCUCUAACAAAAUGCAAUUUGAUCUUAAAGUGCUUAGUCUUGCCAUGGAACACAGGGUUCUUGGCUAUUGCAACUGCAGACUGAUUGUCCACCCAGAUUUCAGUUGCUUCAUCUUGAGUUUCAUUAAGGUCAUAAAGCAGCUUUCUUAGCCAAAUGGCCUGAUUAACUGCUCCUGCUGCAGCAAUGUACUCUGCUUCAGCUGUGGACUGAGCAACAGUUUGUUGCUUCUUAGAACUCCAGCAAAACAUACCCGAUCCAAGUGUGAAGAAGUAUCCAGAGGUACUCUUCAUGUCAUCGAGAGAUCCUGCCCAGUCGCUGUCAGAGUAGCCUUCUAAUUUCAGUUGGUUCUGACUUUCAAACAUUACACCAAAACUAGCAGUGCCCUUGAUGUAUCUAAGGAUCCUCUUUGCUGCCUUCAAAUGUGCCUCAUUGCAACAAUGCAUAAAUCUUGAUAACAGGCUGACACCAAACAUGAUAUCUGGCCUGGUUGCUGUUAGAUACAACAGACAACCAACCAGGCUUCGAUAGUGCCUCUCAUCAACCCUCUGCUGAUCACCACUGCUAGUCAGCUUUUCUCCUUGAGCCACAGGUGUGCUGACUGCUUUACAGUUAUGCAUGCAAAAUUUGUCUAGAAUCUUCAAAGCAAAUGAGUGUUGGCUGAUGAAGAUACCUCGAUCAGAUUGGUGCACUUCCAUGCCAAGGAAGUAAGUCAUGAUCCCCAAAUCUGUCAUCUCAAACACUUGCUGCAUUUGGACCUUGAACUGAUCAAUGAGCUCGAUUUUGCUCCCUGUCACAAGCAAAUCAUCCACAUACAAGGAGACUAUCAGCAAGGUUUCAUGUUCUGACUUUUUAACAUAUAGAGUAGGCUCACUAAGGCUCUUUGCAAAUCCAAGUUUGGUCAGGUAGGCAUCAACUCUGUCAUACCAGGCCCUUGGUGCCUGUUUCAGGCCAUAGAGGGCCUUUCUCAACUUAUACACUUUGUCUUCAUGUCCAACAACUUCAAAACCUUCAGGUUGCUCGAUAAAGAUCUCCUCCUUGAGAAAACCAUUCAGGAAUGCUGAUUUGACAUCCAAUUGGUGAACUCUCCACUGCUUCUGAGCUGCUAAAGCAAACAGCAGCUUAAUUGUAUCCAGUCUUGCCACUGGAGCAAAAGUUUCUAGGUAGUCAACACCAUACUGCUGACUGUAGCCCUUCACCACAAGCCUGGCCUUGUGCUUGUUCAGUGAGCCAUCAGCAUUGUACUUGGCCCGAUACACCCAUUUAACUCCUAUGACCCUCUUGUGUUCUGGUCUGCUCACCAACUCCCAAGUCUGAUUUUUGUUGAUCAUUUCCAACUCAGCUUCCAUAGCUUUCAUCCAGCUUCUGUUUUUAGCAGCCUCUUCAAAGUCUGAGGGCUCAAUCACAGCAACAUUGCACCUCUGAUAAACAUCAACCAAAGUUCUGGUGCCCCUCACUGGUAUAUCAUCGACAGCAUCAUUACUUGGUCCUUCUUCUGCAGGUUCAACCAAGUCUAACUGGUCCAAUUCAGACAAGUUAGCCACAACACCAUUCCAAUUCCACACCUUUUCCUCAUCAAACUUAACAUCCCUGCUGACUAAAACCUUCUUUGCUGUAGGAUCAUACACUCUAUAGCCCUUCUUAUUGCUGCUGUAGCCAACAAAGAUUCCUGGAGUUGCUCUGCUCUCAAGCUUGGUCCUUUUCUCCACUGGAAUAAGUGCAUAACAUACACAGCCAAACACUUUUAAGUGUGUUAUCACAGGUUUGACUCCGUGCCAAGCCUCAAAAGGAGUCUUAUCCUUGACUGCUCUAGUUGGCAGUCUGUUGAGCAGAUACACUGAGGUGUUGACUGCCUCAGCCCAAAACUGACUUGGAAGCUUGCCUUGAAACAAGAGGCACCUGGCCAUGUUCAGUACAGUCCUAUUCUUUCUCUCACAGACUCCAUUCUGUUGAGGAGAAUAGACUGUUGUGAGCUGAUGGUGAAUCCCAGCAUUGUCACAAAGCUUCUGAAAUCUCUCAGACACAUAUUCAGAUCCAUUAUCAGUCCUCAAGGCUCUAAUUUUGCAGCCUGACUGAUUUUCAGCAUAAGCCUUGAAUUUACAGAAGGCUUCAAACACUUCUGACUUUUGCUUCAAGAAAUAGACCCAGCAUAACCUUGUUAAAUCAUCUAUAAACAAGGCAAAGUACCUGUUCUCACUGAUUGAAGGUGUUCUCAUAGGGCCACAAACAUCAGAGUGCACCAAUUCGAGCUUGUCUUGAGCUCUCCAAGCACUGUCAGCAGGAAAAGGCAGUCUAGCCUGCUUACCAAGCUGACAAACCUCACAAACAUUCCCACUAGCUUCAAUUUUUGAAAUGUCAUCAACCAGAUUCAGCCUAUGUAAUAGAUCAAUAGAUCUAAAAUUUGCAUGGCCUAGUCUCCUAUGCCACAAGUCAGUGCUUUCAACAAGGCUGGUGUAUGCCUUUCUUUCUAUUUGGCUAACAUCCAGCAUGAAGCACCUAUCAGUCAUAGAGACUGUGACUAACUCCAGACCAUUCAUGUCUUGAACAAUACAGCAACCAUCCUUAAAAACCAAUGUAUAGCCCUUUUCAACUAAUUGGCCCACACUAAGCAAAUUCUGGUCUAAUUCAGGUACAAAAAACACAUCUGAGAUCAGCUUGUUACCUGAACCAGUGCUAAUCAACACACUGCCCUUGCCUUUAGCCUCAAUCAGCCUACCAUCUCCAAUUCUAAUCCUCGAGUGGAAGCUUCUGUCUAGGCUUUUGAACAGCUUCUCAUCUGCUGCCAUAUGGUGUGAGCAGCCACUGUCUAGUAGCCAAUCAUUGCUGGCCUUGGUUGUGCCAACAAAACAAGUUGCUGUGAACACUUGCUCCUCCUGAGCUUGAAUGUCCUCAGCAGGUCUAGCUUGUUGCAGAGUAGCCUCCCUUGGUUUGCCCUUGCACACCUUCUCCACAUGGCCAAACUGUUUGCAUUUUCUACACUGAAUAUCUGGCCUAAACCAGCAAUACUUUUCUGAAUGUGUUGUCUUCUUGCAAUGAACACAUGGUGGGAACACCCUUUUUGCUUCAUCUCUUCCUGACUUGACCCUUCUAUUGUGCCAAGGCUUCUUGCCUUUUGCACUCACACUCGAGCCUUCACUGGCUUUAGCCUGGAAAGCAGCUUCAGGAUUCUCCUCCUGCCUAUUUGCCCUCCUUUGCUCAAGUGCAUAUAGGGAAUUUAUCAGCUCAGACAAUGAAAUGGCUGAUAAGUCCCUCGAGUCCUCAAGUGAAGAGAUUUUAGACUCAAAUUUCUCAGGAAGAGUUGUAAUAACCUUUUCAACAACUCUGCUCUCUGUGAAGUCCACUCCCAGGAGCCUAAUGCUGUUGACAAUGGCCAUUAUCCUGUCUGAGUACUGCUUGAUGGUCUCAGACUCCUUCAUCCUCAAGUUUUCAAAGUCUCUCCUGAGGUUGAUUACUUGCUGUUGCCUUGUCUUAUCAGUCCCCAUGAACUCCUCCUUCAGCUUCUCCCAAGCCUGCUUAGGUGAGUCACAGGCCAUGAUGCGAGUAAAUAUCACAUCAGAGACUCCAUUUUGCAAGCAGGCCAUAGCCUUAUGCUUCUUGGCUCGCUCCUCAGUAUGUUGCCUCAUCUGUGCAAUGGUGGGAUUGGCUCUCAAUGGAGGUGGUUCAGCAUCAUUCUCGAUCACACUCCAAAGAUCAUGUGCCUGGAGAUAAGUCUUCAUUUUAACUAUCCAAAUGUGAUAGUUUUCUCCAGUGAACACUGGUGGAGGUGGUGGAGUGAAACUCAUUCUGCUGAACUGAUUUUAAAUGCUUCAAUCUUACCAAAUUUUGAACUUGCUGUUGGUUUUGUUUCGAACACAACAGAUUGCAUACAAAGGCCCCUCAAAGACUCGGGCUCAUGAUACCAUUUGUUGGAACAAUGACAGCAGCAAACAUCAAAGCAAAUUUGCAACUCAAUGUUUGCAAGACUGAAGCAAGAAGAAUCAAGGCAAGCAAAGCAUCAAAAAUCAAAAUACUCAGCAAUGUUUGUGACUGAACAUACCUCAUUUUUCAUUCAACUUGAAAUAUAUAAAAGAGUUACAAUUGUACAUUGACAGUUACCUAAUGUAUUUAACUGCCCCAACUAAUACAAACCUAAUCACUAGCCAAAAAUAAUCAAACAUAGCUGACCAAUCAGCCAUUACAUCAAAAGAUCAUGUCACUAACUUAAGUUUAACUAGCAUUACAAACAAACUAAAGUUGAACUGAAUCAAAUUACAUCAAAACAAAACAGCAAAGUUGGUUGCUUCAUUCAGUUCAAAAACCAUUCGUGCGCACCAAGCAAAACGAGCUGAGCUCGAUAGCUGCUGGUCUCGAUAGUAGCAAGCUUUUGGCUCCAUGUUGCAUUGCAGUCCAGCUUUCAACAGAUUUGGAAGGUCCAUUAUGUUCUUCACUCUCAAGACUCUCUUUUCUUUCCAAACUUAUCCUUGAUGGGAACCCAAUCUCUUAUUUACCUCCCAAUUUCUUGGAAAUUUCCUCUCGUUUGGUUUCUCUCAGUUUGAGGGAUUGCAAUUUGAAUGGGCAUUUUCCAACCGGAAUUCUCUUAUUGCCAAAAAUUCAAAGCAUUGACAUUUCAGGCAAUGACCAACUUAUGGGUCAGUUGCCAGAAUUUCCAGCAAACAAUGCUUUACAGAGUUUGUCGCUUUCUUAUACAAAUUUCAGAGGAGAACUACCUCAAUCAAUUGGUAAUCUCAAGUUCUUAACAGAUUUACAUCUUUCUGGUUGCAAUUUUUUUGGACCCAUUCCAUCGUCAAUUGCAAAUCUUAGUCACCUGGUGAACUUGGAUCUGGGAUAUAAUUAUUUCAGUGGUUUAAUCCCUUCGUUUCAUAGAUUUGGAGUUCCUAAUCUUGAAAAUCUCAAUUUGGAGACGAACAAGCUUUUUGGAUCAAUACAUUCUUCUUUAUUUACUCUUCCAUCGUUGAAGACCUUUUAUCUUGGAGAAAAUCAAUUGGUUGGGAAAAUUGAUGAGUUCCCCAAUGCAUCUUCUUCUUUGAUUGAAGUACUGUCUAUAGGCAAUAAUGAUUUAACAGGACCAAUCCCAAAGUCAAUCCUUCAACUUCCAAGGCUUGAAUGGCUUUAUAUCGAAAGCAAUAGCUUCAGUUCCAUGAAGCUUGACAUGUUUGUCCAUCUCAAGAACUUGAGGUAUCUGACGCUGCUCAACACAAGCUUGUUAAUUGAAAGCGACAAUAGAAGUCUUACUUUUCCCCAGUUAGAGAGCCUAAGCCUAAGGUCAUGCAACCUUACUGAAUUUCCAGAAUUCAUUAAAAGGCAAGACAAGUUGGUUUACUUAGAUCUUUCUAACAAUCAUAUCCAUGGUGUUGUGCCUAAUUGGUUGUGGAAGAGCAGUCUUUCAUUCUUACACCUUUCUUUCAAUGUGAUUGAUUUUCCAAAACAGCUUCCCUUAAAUGAUGCAAACUUCUCUUUUUCAAUGUUGAGGGUAUUGUAUCUGGAAUCUUGUAACAUAAGUGCGUUUCCGGAGUUCUUAAAGAGUCUAGAAAAUUUAGUAGUUCUCGACCUUUCAAAUAAUAAAAUAAGUGGUGCAAUACCAAACUGGGUGUGGAAGAAAAGUUUGCGGUAUCUGUUUCUUGCUAAUAACCAUAUCUCAUCUUUGGACCAACUUUUACCCAAUCAGAGUUCAACUUCUUCACAAACCUCCUUGACUAGACCUAUUUGCAAUUUGAGUAAACUUAGAAAUUUCAAUGCAUCUCAUAACAAUUUGAGCGGCACGAUUCCAAAUUGCUUAGGCAAAAUGAAUGAUCUCUAUUUGUUGGAUCUGCAAGGAAAUAACUUCAGUGGAAUGUUACCAAAAUUUUCAAAAGUAACCCAAUUAUAUAUUCUUAAAGUUAGCGAGAAUAGAUUAGAAGGGAAGUUGCCCAGAUCAUUAGCUGAAUGCACUCAGCUUGAAGUUUUGGACGUGGGAAACAACAAGAUGAAUGAUACAUUCCCUUUUUGGUUGGAGAAGUUGCCUUACUUGACCGUUCUAAUAUUGCGGGAAAACAGAUUUUAUGGUCAAAUUAAACAUAGAUUUGUUUUCCCAACUUUGGAUGUGUUGGACAUUGCUUCAAACCAGUUUUCUGGUGAACUAUCCAUUGAUUUCCUUCAAGCCACUCGACUAAGGUCACUCAAAAUAGGUGGGAAUAAAUUAGAAGGGAAGUUGUCGAGAUCAUUAGCCAAUUGUAAAGCACUUGAGGUUCUGGACCUUGGAAAUAAUAUGGUUCAUGAUACAUUCCCAUUUUGGUUAGAGAAGCUGCCUUCCUUGAAGGUUCUCAUUUUGCGAGGAAACAGAUUCUACGGCACAAUUACAAAAUUUAACACAGAACGUGGGUUUCCAAAGCUACGCAUAUUGGACAUUGCUUCCAACAAUUUUUCAGGCGACUUGUCCAUUGAAUUUUUGCAAAGCUUGAAGGAAAUGAUGCAGUUAACAAAUGACGACAAAGCUAAGCUGGAUUACAUUGGAGAGAAUUAUUAUCAAGAUUCAGUGACAAUUUUCAACAAAGGGAUUAAGCUGUUUUACGAGAAAAUCUUAACCACUCUUACUUGUCUUGACCUUUCCAACAAUAGUUUCCAUGGGAGAAUACCAGAAGAAAUACAAAUGCUGAGGUCACUCAAAGUGCUAAACUUGUCCUAUAAUAGCUUCUCCGGUGAAAUCCCAGUAGCAGUUCAAAACCUAAAAGAUCUGGAGUCUUUGGAUCUGUCACAGAAUGAGCUAUCAGGGAAGAUUCCUCCACAGCUUACAACUCUAACUUUCCUAGAGGCACUGAACUUUUCUUACAACCCACUUGAAGGGAGCAUACCGCAAGGCAACCAAUUCAGUACAUUUUCAAAUGAUUCUUAUCGUGGGAAUCCAAAAUUAUGCGGUCAACCAUUGUCCAAGAAAUGCAAUGAAGACGGUCUUCCAGUGCCACCGCCUCCAGGGGAAGAGGAACAGUCAUGGUUAUAUGCUAUGUCAACUUGGAAAAUUGUUUUGAUAGGUUAUGGUAGUGGUUUGGUCGCUGGGCUAUGUAUCGGAUAUACAGUGUUGAAUGAGUUGGGAAACAAAUGGGUUGACAAGUUCAAAAAACACGGGAAAAGAAACAGAAGAAGAUCUAGGUGACUGUGUCGGAAUUCAUGUAUUAAAGUCAACAGGUAUACAUUUCCUUUUGAAACUAUAGUCUUUAUAUUUUGAAAAGAUUGAUGUUACAAACUAAUUUUGGAUCAUACAACAUUGCAAUUCCUUAAUUUAAGCAGCAGGAGUGGUAACACAGUGAUUUUGUUUUUCCUAUGCAACAUUCCCAUAUUUGUAUGCUUAUGAGAAGUUAUAUUCUUGGUGGUUUGACUUGUGUUUCUUAUUUUGUCACAGGGAAAUGACCUCUGUCCUUCUAAGCUUCAAGAAGAAAACCACGCAAAGCAUGAUAAAUUUUGUCUUUUUUGUUUGGGUUUUUGUGCUAUAUAUUUUAUCAAACACAUGUUGGGCUUUAGGCUCGGGUGUAAUGGGUAGACCUAUUGGUCCGAGUUUUUGUGCAAUCUGACAUUCGUUUUGUACAAAUAAUUAAUUUAUCUUUUAAUAACAAUUUUAUUACUUUAAAAAUAAGUAAAUAAAAUGAUGAAAAAUUAGAUAUCUUAAAAUAUGAUCCGUUUUCCAGAGUUGACAAACAAUGUAAAACACUAUAAAUAUGAUAGCUUUUUCAAAUGAUUCUCCCAUUAUGAAACAUUUAAGUGAAUUUACAGAAAUGAAAUAUUUAUUCACAAGAAAUAAAAAUUAGCCAUGUUAUGCAUAUGAAAAACAUGAUAAUUGCAAGUGAAAUGAGAAGCUUCAUAUUCUAAUUUUCAGGCCAAUAGUCUGAGAAGAAAGCACAGAUUGGCAGAAUAAAGUUGAGAAAAGGAGAAGCAUAUGGCAAAAAGGAUUAUCCCAAAACUGAUAUGUUGCACUCGACGUUCUCUUACAUGUAGUUUGUAUCAUACGCGGAUGUUGGAUCUUAUUAUCUUAGGAUUUAGUUUACCCAACUCUGAACUUCUGCUUUAAAUACAAUAAUUCUAUUCUAAAUUGGUAUUGGGAUUAGUCUAUUUAUACUUUCAAUGAUAGUUUUAUUACUUUAAAAAAAGUACCCUUCAAUUAAACUUUGUACGUAAUAAUAUGAUAAUAAUAAUUAAAAGAUAAUGAAAGAAAUUAUGUCUUACAGUCUAGUAAAGGCCAACAAUGUGUCACACUAUCAUUACAAUGUACACAUACUUUGUAGGGAAAUUUAUCCAAUGAAACAGAGGAUUAAACUAGUUUCCCAGAUGCAGGGAAGAAUUGGUAUGCUACAAUACUAAGAAAAAUACUAAUAACAAAAAAAUGGUAAUGGAAUCACCGUUGUUAUCGGGCUUAUGAAUUUCAUUGAUUACGGCGUGAUAACUGAUGAAUACUCUUAACAUAUGGGCAAAUCUGGCGGCGGCGGUGCUAACCUCUUUUUGUAUUUUUAUUGGAUCCUCCUAUAUAGGAGCUUGGAGGGAAGGAGUAUGUGCUCCUUAUAGAGCUGCGGUGCCAUGGCUGUGCAGAAUGGUGCCGAAGAAUGUACUGCUGCAGGCGGUUAUUUGCCAGUGUCCUGGUACAGGUAGCUGGCCAUUUGUGGAGACCACAAAAAAUAAAAAUUAACUGUGUUUUGCAAGAGUAUUUUUUUUUCAUAUUUUAGAUUUAAAUAAUUAUAUAUUCUUUAAUCUCAUUGGGUAUUAAUUGGUUUGGUAAAUUUUGAAAUAAAAAAAUAAAAAAAAAAUUUUAUUUCAAUAAAAUAAUACAUCCUUGUGUCUCAUUUGACAAAUAUUCUUUUAUUUUUUCAUUUCAUUCAUACUCAUACCACACAGAUAAUUAUUCUUAAAUUCAUUUGUUCUUUGGGGUCUUCUUUUAUUCCUAUAACAGGUCUCCAAAUAUCAAUGAUACGAGCGCCGCUGCUGCUGACUCAGAGUCUCCUUUUGAGCAGGAAUCUUAAGACUUUGAAAAUGAUCGAGAUUACAACUUAUCUCCUAAUUUGUUAAGUAUGUUAGAACAAUAUGAGAAACAGAUUCUACCUCACAAACAGUUAGUGAAAAUUUUGAGCUUAGGAGACAAACAAGAAAAGAAAGAGGUGAAGAUCGAAACUUGCAUCACUGCAAAGACAAAACGAGACCUCAUUGAGUUACUCCAAGAAUUUAAAGAUGUCUUUGCAUGGUCGUAUCAAGACAUGCCUGGUCUAAGUACUGAUAUUGUGGUAAACUGGCUUCCCAUAAAGGAAGAAUGCAAGUUGGUUCAACAGAAACUUUGAAGGAUGAGGCCCGACGUCCUGUUGAAAAUAAAAGAAGAGGUUAAGAAACAAUUUGAUGUUGAUUUCCUACAAGUGGUUAAAUAUUCGGAGUGGGUAGCCAACAUAGUCCUCGUCCCUAAGAAAGAUGGAAAACUACGAAUAUGUAUAGACUAUAGAGAUUUAAACAAAGCCAGCCUGAAGGAUAAUUUCUCGUUACCUCACAUCCAUACCUUAGUGGACAACACGACAGGUUAUUCACUGUUCUCCUUCAUGGACAGUUUCUCCAAAUACAACCAGAUAAAGAUGCAUAUGAAAGAUAUGAAAAAGACCAUAUUUGUAACCAUGUUGGGAACAUUUUUCUAUAAAGUAAUGCCAUUCAGGCUGAAAAAUACAGGAGCGAUGUAUCAAAGAGCCAUGUUUACGUCGAUGAUAUGAUCAAAAAAUCCUGAACAGAAGAGGAGCAUGUAAAAGUCUUGAGGAAACUAUUUUUGAGGUUGAAAAAAUUCCAGCUAAAGUUGAAUCCUGCAAAAUGCACUUUCAAGGCCACGUCGGGUAAAUUGCUAGGGUUUAUAGUUAGCAGCAAAAGGGAUCGAGAUAGACCGAAUAAAUUUAAAGCUAUACAAGAGUUACUUUCACUGCGUACCCAAAAGGAGAUCUGGGGUUUCUUAGGGAGAUUAAAUUACAUUACCCUGUUCAUCUCACAACUAACUGAGAAAUAUGACCCCAUAUUCCGUCUCCUUAAGUAACAUGAUCUAGGUGUAUGGGAUGAGGAAUGCCAGAAAACCUUCGAUAAGGUUAAACAUUACUUGUCCAAUGCCCUAGUGCUGAUGCUACCUAGCCCAGAUAAGCCACUGAUACUGUACUUGGCAGUAUUUGCUUGGCCAACAUGAUGAGUCAGGGAGGAAAGAAAGAGCAAUGUAUUACCUCAGUAAGAAGUUCACUGAAUGUGAGACAAUAUAUUCACCAAUAGAGAAAUCAUGUUGCGCCUUAACCUGGACUACCCGGAAGCUGAGAUAAUACAUGUUGUACAAUACGACUUGGCUCAUCUCGAAAAUGGACCCUCUAAAGUAUAUGAUAGAAUUGAUUGCAUUAAAUGGAAGAAUAGCCCAGUGGUAAAUUCUGCUGUCCGAAUUGGAUAUAAUCUAUGUAAACCAAAAAGCAAUAAAAGAGAGUGCAAUAGCGGACUCUUAGCUAGCAGAGCUCUAGAAGAUUACGAGUAUUUAAAUUUCAAUUUUUCAAACGAGGAUUUGAUGUAUGUUUCAACCACUAAAGAAGGUGCUCCAAGAGAAUAUCCCAGGAAAUUAAAUUUUGACGGAGCCUCAAAUGCCAUGGGUAACAGAAUUGGGGCAGUCCUGGUAUCUUCAAAUAGAGAUCAUUAUCCUUUCACCAGUAAAUUUGACUUUGAUUGCACAAAUAAUAUGAUAAAAUACGAAGCAUGUAUCAUGGGUAUUCGUGCAGCUAUAGAAUGCAAGAUCAAAAUGUUGGAGUUAUAUGAGGAUUCUACACUAGUGAUCUAUCAACUUAAAGGUGAAUGAGAGACAAGAGAUCCCAAGUUGAUUGAUUAUUGAAGGCUAGUCCUUGAGUUAAUUAAGGAGUUUGAUGACAUCAUCUUUUGCUACCUCCCGUGAGAUGAAAAUCAAAUGGCCGACGCCUUGACUACCUUAGCUUCCAUGGUCAAAGUGAACAAAUAAGAGGAUGUAAAACCUAUCCAGAUGAGUAUUUAUGAAGCUCCGGCCCAUUGUCACAAUAUCGAGGAAGAAGAAAAUGAUGAUCACCCUUGGUACCAUGACAUAAUACAAUAUGUAAAGGAUCGUGAAUGCCCUGAGCAGGCAACCGAGAAUGAUAAAAGGACACUUAGAAGACUGACUAAUAAGUAUGUCCUACAUGGGGAGAUCCUAUACAAAAGAAGAAAGAAUUAUGUGUUACUAAGAUGUGUAGAUGUCGUAGAGGCCAAGAAAAUCUUAGAAGAAGUCCAUGAAGGCGUUUAUGGAACACACGCUAAUAGUUUUACAAUGACCAGGCAAAUCAUGAGAUUCAGAUAUUAUUGGUCCACCAUGGAAGGUGAUUGUAUCAAUUAUGCCAAAAGGUGUCACAAAAGCCAAAUUUAUAGAGACAAAAUUCAUGUGCCUUCCUUAACUCUUCAUGUUAUGACUUCUCCAUGGCUUUUCUCUAUGUGGGGCAUGUAUGUCAUUGGGUCAAUCUCGCCAAAAGCUUUCAACGAGUACCAAUUCAUCUUUGUGGUCAUCGAUUACUUUACCAAGUGGGUAGAUGCCGCUUCUUAUGCCAAUGUCACAAAAUCGACAGUUAACAAACUCUUGAAGAAAAAGAUCAAAUGUCGAUAUAGAAUUUUAGAAAGGAUCAUAUCUGACAAUGCAUUGAAUUUGAACAAUAGCAUGACAUCGGAGGUCUACAACCAAUUCAAGAUCAAGCAUCAUAACUUGUCACCAUAUCGCCUAAAAAUGAAUGAUGCAGUGGAGGCAGCAAAUAAGAACAUUAAGAAGAUCAUGGGAAAAAGACAGAGACUUAUAAAGAUUGGAAUUAAAAAUUACCAUUUGCCCUCUAUGCUUAUUAAACGUCUGUCAGAACCUCAACCGGGGCAACGCCUUUCUCAUUGGUUUAUGGAAUGGAGGUGGUUUUGCCCAUUGAAGUUAAGAUUCCUUCUUUGUGAGUUUUAUCAGAGUUGAAGUUAGAUGAAGUAGAAUAGAUCCAAUCUCGAUAUGAUCAGUUGAACUUGUUCCAAGAGAAAAGGUUAAAAGCUAUCCGCCAUGGUCAGAUGUACCAAAAACAAAUGAUGCGAGCUUAUGAAAAAAAGGUUUACGCCAGAGAAUUUCAUGAUGGGGACUUAGUGUUGAAAAAGAUCCUUCCCAUACAAGAAGACUUUAGAGGAAAAUGGAUGCCAAAUUAGGAAGGACCUUAUAUGGUAAAAAAGUCUUUUCUGGUGGAGCAUUGGUUUUGACCGAGAUAGAUGGCAGAGAUUUGCCUAACCCUGUGAAUUUAGAUUCAAUAAAGAGGUAUUUCACCUAAAAAAACAAAAAAACAAAAGGAGAGGCCAAGGCAAAAAUCCGCAAAGGGCGUCUUGAGACUAAAGGAGUUUUGAGUUGAAAACCCGAAAAAGGCGGCUCAAAUUUUGAUCAAAGGUAGGGUAUGUGGUAGCCUUGUCCCCUCAGAAGUAACAAGGAGGAAAAAAUUUGUAUCUUGAAGCAUCAACGAAGUAUUCUAGAUCCCCUAAACACAUAUUAGGCUCAAAAUGGUCCUUAAAAAGUUUGUGCGAAGAAGUUCAUGCUACGAUAUCUGAGGCACCUAAUUUCAUUUCACUUAUUUUAUGUUUUAGCAAUGUCUGCUAUUUUGAUUAUCUUUUCAUUUAGAGCUUUGCUCCCAAUAAAUUUUAAUUUUGUCCAUUAUUACGACCUUAUUCAAACAUUUUUGCAUUAAAAUGGCGAUUAAUGGACUAACAAUAUUAAACUAAAAGGAUUUCUACGUGCUGCUUUGAAAAAUCUCUAAAUAGUACAGGGACCUGAAACAGGACCACUAGUUAGAACUAACCAAAUUUGAAAGUUGGAAACAUCACGAAACAAAUAGUCCAAAUUGUGAUUACCUUUUCGGGUUUCCUAUCAAAGAUACCAGAUCUGAACAAAAAGGCAUGGUAACACAUCAGUGAUAGAACCUUGACGAACAACGAUUAAUGUCAACCUUGGCAUUAAAAAGGGGAUUAUUCUAAAAAAUGUCAUGUUGCAUUCAUACAAAUAUCAUUCAUAUACAUCUAGUUAGGAGCAUUUAAUUCAUUCCGAUCAUAACAUCCUAAUCGUUUGACAUAAAAUAUAGGCCUAUGAAACAGAUUCUACAGGUCCUGUUCCCUAGAGAACGGUGUAACAGAUCAGUGAAACCACAAAUCUUAUACCCCUAAAGUUGUAGUGGGUCAGAUUGAAUCUACCAUAGCGAAUCUUAUCUCCCUAAAGUUACAGUGGAGCAGAUUAAAGCUACAAAUCCUAUUCCCCUGAAGUUGCAGUGGGUCAAGUUGAAUCUACCAUAGCGAGUCUUAUCUCCCUGAAGUUGCAAUGGAGCAGAUUAAAGCUAAAAAUCCUAUACCCCUGAAGUUGCAGUGGGUCAAAUUAAAUCUACAAUAGUGAAUCUUAUCUCCCUGAAGUUGCAAUGGAGCAAGAUGAAGCUACAAAUUCUAUACCCCUGAAGUUGCAGUGGGUCAGAUUGAAUUUACCACAACAAAUCUUAACUCCUUGAGGUUGCAAUGGAGCAAGAUGAAAUCGUAAUACUAGAUCCUACCUUCCUAAAGUUGUAGUGAAGCGAAUACAGUAAAGUAUAGUAACCAAGGAACUGAAAGAGUGAGUUGCUUGAAAAAGAGAGGCACUAGAGAAGUCAAGAUUCAACGGGACCGAACAAAAUUGGUCCUCCUUUAAAGUCUUUGCUCCAUUCCCGUUACACGAUAAUAAUCAAAUAGGGGCAAUUGUAAGAGCCCAAUUUUGCUCGGGCCCAAUAAUAAAACAAUAGCAAAAAAUAACAAUACAUUUACAAAGCUCGAGAGCCCAAAAAAUUAUUACAAGCCCAAAUACAAAGAGAAGGCUCAAUGGCCCAAAAUCCUAAUCUUUCAGCAGAAACCCUAGUUGCCUUAGCCCCCUACUGCAUCGCUCCCCGGCAUGUCAGCGGACACUACGCUGAAAACCUUUCCCCUUGCACCAAAAUGGCAGUAGCAACCCCGUUGACUUCCAUCGCCUUUGCAAGAAACACAAAAAAGGAAAAGAAGCAGAAAUAAGCAAUUGAAAAAAAACAUAUAUUGUAAUAUUAUUUCAGUUAUAAAAACCGAUCUUUGUAACACGAAAAGGGGAUCGAAUACACCGAAAUAAAAAAACAAAAUCGAAAUACAAAAAAAUAUAUCAGAAGAAUCAAAAUAAAAAUACCACAAAAUUCAAAAAGGUACAUUUUAUUGUUUAUUAUUAUUUUAUUUUGAUUUUUCUCUUUUUGAAAUAAUAAAAAAUAAAAAGGGAGAAACUUUACCUGUUUUGCGCCGUCGUCAGAGGUCCCCUUCGACUUGAGAAGCCUCGUCGAAGAGAGUAGAACCGAAAGGUUUUUUUCAUUUUUUGAGAUUUUGGCUAAGAUUUUAGUGAUUUUGACUCUAGAUCAGAGAUCUACGCAGAAAAGGAUUAUGGGGAAUUUAUUUGGCAAUCUUUGGCCACCGAAGGCGACGGCCUCUGUCGCGAGUGACCGGUGGCCACAGCGGAGACUCGCUGGCCCCAUGGCUAGAUUUGAAGCCACUUUAAAGAAAAAAAAGGAGAAUGAAGUUUUUUUUAAAGAACAUGCUAAAAUGAUUUUUUUUUUCAAAAUUUUAACUUAUAUAGACAUAUCAAAAUGAUGACGUUUUGGCCUAGCUUCAGAAACCCCAAAACGAUGUCGCUUUGAACUCAACCAAAAAACUGACCAAUUUUCCCCUUACGAUUUAGGUGUUUUUGAAGUGAGGGGAUAUUUGUAGUUUUGGUCCUUUCACUUUUUCAUCUUUUUAAUUUAGUCCUGCUCAUUUUAUUUGUUUUAAUUUUUGCCCUAUAAUUUAAUUUCUUUUGCAAUUUAGUCCCCUGACCCACUAUGACCCCUUGAGGAGUAACACGUGUCAAUAGGAAGGGGAUAAUUUCCAUUUGACCCCUUAAAGUUUUCUACCUUAUUUUAAUUUAAUCCUUUAAGUUCUGUUUCUUUAUAAUUUAGGCUUUUUGUUUUGUUAUAUUUUUAAUUUAGUCCUUUAUUCCCCUUUCCUUUAUUUUUUUCUUGCAAUUUGUGCUUUACGUUUUGUUUGAAUUUUAAUUUAAUCCUCCAUUCAUUUAAUUAAGUCCAUAUAUUUACUUUUUUUAUUUUUUUUACCGUCUGAUUUUUUAUUUUUUUAAAUUUUGAUCCUUACUUUUAAUUAUUGAUAUUACUAAUAUUAUUAAGUAAUUAUUGUUGUUAAUUGAUAUUAAUUUUGUUAAAAUUCGCUUAAAGAACCAAUAUUUUAUUAACGUAAUUCUAUUAUUAUCAUGCAUUUUUAUAUUAUUUCAUUAUUAGUAUUAUUAGAUUAUAUUAUUAAUUAAAUAUUUUUUAUUGGCUUUUCAUUUGUACUCAUUAUAUUAUUGUCAUUUUGUUUUAUUAUUUAUGUUAUUUUACCAUAAUUUUCUCCAUUAUCUUACAUUGUGAACAAUUGCUACAUACAUCUAUUUUUAGGCAUAAGUGCAUAAAAGAAUAAAGACUAAGGCGAUAUUCUUUAUUUUGAGGAUUUCUAGAAAUUGUGCCCUUAACUUACGGGGUACAAUUUCUCCCUCGAACCAAAAUAAUCAAACAUCCCUUCUCUUUUUUGGAAGAAAUAAUAAUUAAAAAUAUAUAAGAUUUGAGCAAUAAUUAAGAAAUGAGCAUUCUUAUUUUCGAGAAUUCGAGACAUCGUGUCCUAACUUAUGAGGCAUGAUUUUCUUCUCGAUUAACUUGAAAUACGAAGACAUUCUUCAUAAAAUUUGAUUUAAUUUCUUAUUUUUGGAGAUUUGAGACAUUAUGCCCUAACUUACGAGACAUGAUUUUCUUCCCGAUUAACUCGAAAUACAAAGGCAUUUUUCAUAAAAUUUGAUUUAAUUAGCUGUAUUUUAAUCAAAUAACAUCAUGCCAAAAAAAGGGUCGUAUUGUAAAUUUUCUUCUAAUCCACAAGUCUCGAUGUUAAGACAUCAAGUAAUCAACUAGGUAUCAAUUUUGGGCAUUAUAAAGGUGUUAAUCCUUCCUCAUGCGUAACUGACUCUAGAACUCAUUUCCAGAGUUUGAAGACAAAAAAUCAUCAUUUUAGUAAAUUUAACAUUUUAUUAAAAUGAUCGAAUUUCAAGGUGACCUAACAACACCUAAAUAAAAAAGAUUGAUGGCGACUCCAUUUUCAUUUUAAAAAAUAAAAAUUUGAUUUCAAAAAAGGGUUUCGACAUUCUUGAUAUGAAAGGUUGUUCAAUUAGACCAAGAAGGUGCAAAAAAAAAUAGUACUAACUACUAACCAUUAGAGAUUGAAGAACAAAUAAGAGCAUUUACAUCCAUAUCUCCAGCAAUACUAUCAUUUUGUACACCAAAAGAAUAUGUUAAUAAAUAUGUAAGAGAAGUCAAGAUGAAUGAACAAGAGAGAGAAAAAAAAAGCAAAGGCAAUUAAUUGAAGCCCAAGACAGGAAAAAGAAGAGCUUAAGAGAUGAGAUAAAGCAAAAAAAAAAUUAAAGAAGUGAGGAGCCAAUAUGAAGGCACAAAAAAGAAGAGAAAGUAAAAUGAAAGAGAGAAGUUUAGGCCUUCUUCUCCUGUAAUAACCACAGUUCAUCCACACGAGAACAAGGGUCCUACCUCUUCAUCUCGACCCUUUUUCAAUAAAUUGUAAUGACUCAACCCAAAAACAGAGAGAGAAAAUCUAUAACCCCAAUUUCCAAUAAAAUCUAACCCUAGAUCUAGAAAUAGUUAAAAAAUCUAUAAAAUCGAGGUUGAUUUACAAAUGAAACAUCGUUAAGGAAAUCUAUAAAAUUAUUAAGGAAGGUCUUCUUCACCGGGUUAAGCGACGGGAAGUUGGGAGGGGGUGAACAAACAAUGAGGAAGGAAAAGUUUGGACCUCUGAUGGUUUUUCUUGUUUCAACAUAUCCAUUUCUUCUCCUCAUCUUUUUCUUCUUUUAGUGUUUUGUUUGAUUCUUAAAAUGGGUUUCCAUUGUGGCAAGUUAAUUGACCACGUCACCUGUUUCGUUAGACCUAUAACGAAAAAUGUUAGUGGGUGAUUGAUUUGUUAGUUUUUAAUAAUGUUAAUGAUCAAUUUGUUAUUUUUUAAAAAUUGAGUGACUGUUUUGUUAUUGAGAUCAAAAUUAAAUGGCUGCUGGUGUAAUUUAUUCUAAUAAUAAUUAAUUAUUAUUAUCCCUUGCUUUAAUAUGUUGAGAAAGUUCAGGGAAAUGUAAAUAAGUUAAAAGAAAGUCAGAAAUUAAAUUAGUAAGUUUCAUCACUUUAGAAUUUUAAAAGACCGAAAAAGUGAGUGAAAAAGUGCUCACUAUCAAUUUGGAAUUACUUUCCCCUCAUUUUUAAUAUUGCUAUGAAUUUUGAUAUUAUAAAUUCUAAUCAUAUUUAAAUUUAAAUAUUCUAAUUAUUAUCUAUAAUGAAUUUGGAAGAGAUGUAAAUAUUAAUCCUUGAAUAUCUGUAUUUCAAAUUAGCUUUACUUUUGUAAACAAUGGACUCACAAUUUUGGACUUUUUAAAUUUAAGAUAAACUUUUUUAUUUAAAAUUUGAAUAAAAAUAUUAUGAUUUAAUGCACAUAAUAAAGGGUUUAAAAUUUAAAGUGAGGACUCAAGUUGAAAUAUUAUAAGAAAAGUGCCAAACAAUUCCACAAAUUAAAAGCAAAGACUAAGGAUAGUUUAUAUUUUCCUCAAAGCAGCCCAUUAUUGACUUUUUUUAGUCGUUAAUUUCAGUGUGUAUCUGUUCAUUUCAUACGCUUUAAGAAGAUUAUUGAAAAGUCACUAAAUUAUGAGGAAAUUUAGUCUUUGAGCCAUCAAUUUAUCUCAAUCAGCUAAGACACUCACCACAAUUCCAUCUUUUCUUUUUUCGAAGAAAUUAUGUUAAGUUCUGUCAUCAUAAUUUCCACCCUUGUUUUUAUAAUGACUUAGACUUAAAUGAAGUGGGAGACCAUUACAUUCAUAUACUAAAAAUCAGAAAAAAAAAAAAGAAAAAGAAAAAGAAAGAUUUGAUGGGUCAUAAAAGUAAUUAAAAAUUUUACUAAAGUAAUUGUACCUAUCAAUUAAUAGGAUAGUUAUAGUGAAUAAAGAUAUCAUUUUCACGAAGACUAAACGUACUAGUAAUUACCGCCUUUCUAUUAUUUAACUAUUAGAGUUGCGUGACCCAAAUUCCUGUCAAAGAAAUAAUAUAGUGGGAAAGCUAGGUUGAUUUUGAAAUUUCAGUCUAAUUAAAAUCCCUAUUAUCGCAUUGACUUGUUCUAUAGAUUCCCUAUUAGAUUUGACUCUAAUUCGGUAGAUUUAUGUUGUCCUAUUUCUAGAAUUGCAGGCAACUUCACUCAACUAUGCAAGAUCUACUCUUAAACAUGAUCUAUUCUUCAUUUGAUUUAAACACAUUGAACAUGGAUCAAUAAUCUAGAAAUAUUAAACCAAGAAUUGAGCGCACAUAAUUGAAAAUAAGAAACUAAGCGUCUAUUAUGUAAAAUAAAAAUCAAAUGACAGAAUCCAUCAUAAGGUUCGUUUUUCUUAGGUAUUUAGAAAAUUAGUUUAUACUCGAAAAUAAAAACAUCCAGGAGAUAGAAUAACCGAAAGAAAUAAAGGAACUCAUGAUAACUCCCUAAGAAUUCAACUGAGAAUCUUCAAUCUUGACGGAAAUCUUCCAAGACGGCUUCAAUGAUUUUUUUCAAGUUGUUUUCUUAAAUAUUCUAUGACGGCUUACUCCUCUCUUUUUAUUUUUGUCAUAUAUACAUCCUAGAAUGCCCAAAAAACCUAAAAAUCGCAUUUUUCCGCAGCUGGGUGUGAAAUCCCUUAAAAUUGAUAUAGUCUACCACAUGGCUAUGUGGUAGGCCGUGUGGAAUGGGUCAGCUUGUGUGGCUUCUAUAGCUUGCUUCGGUUUUCACUCAUUUUUCGCUUCUUUUGCUCCCAAAUGCUCUAUUAAGCAUAAAAUCAUGAAUCUAAAGGAUUAGGAGCAUAAAAUUCACCAUUAAAAUUGAAUAAUCACCCAAAAACACAUUAAGAACGAGGUUAAAAUAUGUUACUUUUUAAUACUUAUCAAGACUUAGACAUUUGUAUGCAGUGCUAAAUAUUAAAAUUAAGAUUAAGACUAACAAUAUCUCCUACUAUUAUUUAAUUAAUUUUUUGAAGUUCAAAGAUUAAUUUAGAAUUCAACCCAUAAUUUGGGGUGUUAAAAUGCAUUGUUAGUCCCUGUAUUUGUAUAAAACUUGAGAUUUGACCCCUAUACUUUAAAAAUAAAAAAAUCAAUACUUUUACUUUUUCAAUUUAAAAAUCAUAGUCAAAUCAUUAUCGUCAUUGGUAGUUUUUAUAAAAAGAAUUCAAUUUUAUAUGUUUAAUUAUAUUAAUCAUAUGCCACGUCAUAUGAGGAUAAACUAAUCAAAAUUUCAAGUUGAAAAGUUUUAUGAAAAAUACUUACGAUUUUAAUGACUACGUUGAGAUUUUUAAAUGAAAAAGGUAAGAGGACUUAGUUUUAAACAUUUACAUACAGGUGAGUGUUAGAUCAAAUUGAGUGAAAAAUUUUGAGUUAAUCGAGUUGACAAAUCCUAUUUUACCAUCCUAACUCGAUUUUGAAAAUUUUCGAAUCAAGUCGAGUGAAAUUGUUCGAGUUAAAUUUAAAAAAACUUAACAUGUCAAUUUAAAAUAUUGUUACAAUAUAACUAAUACAUGUUAGAGCACAUAAAUUUGAAACCAUGUGUAUUUAAAAACUUUUUCAAAAAAAAAAAAAAACUUGAUAGAGACCAAUUUGUUCAUUUUCAUAUUUGAUAGGGACCAAAAAUUUAUUUACACCAAUUUGUUAUUUUAAUUAUUCGAGUUAUUCAAAUUAUAAAAUUCAACUCAAUUCAAACUCGAAACUCAAAUUACUUAUCUAAGUUUACUCGAAUAAUUUAAUUCAAUUAACUCGAAAUUUGAUUUUUUUCUAAUCAAACCAAGAUUUGUUUACUGUUACAUUUACAUGCAUGCCAAAAAAAUUAAGAAUAAGGCUAAUAAUAUCACUUUCUUUGUUAGUUCAAAAUUAAAAUUAUUAAAAAUUUCAAAUUAGACAGUUAUUUUUGAGGAUUUUAUUAAAAUGUUUUAAAGUUGGGAUGUUAAUUUAGAAUUUAAUCCAUUGCUGAAGGAGAAAAGACGGGAACCUUGGAAUAUUAUUCAUAUAGACUAAAGAUGGAGCAAAAUGAACCAUCUCCAUUUUUUCAUUUUUUUUAUAAUUUUAAUUAACUUCAAAGUGAAAUUUUAAAUAUGUUUCUUUUGUUAGAUAAUACUUACAAUCAUCCAAAGCCCUACUCUAAUCCAAAAGUAGGAGUAUAAUACGUCUUAGCAUACUCAAACUUACGUCAUUUUACAUUGAUAACAAUACCUAUAUCAAUCGAUCUAAUACUCAAUUAACAAGAUGUAAAGAAAAUUAAGUGUGAAUGGAAUAAAUUAAUGUUAAGAUUAAGAAUAAAUGAUACAUGCAUUAUGACUAAGAGCUUUAAUAUAUUAUUAUUAUUAUCCCUUGCUUUAGUACGUUGAGAAGGAAAUAAAAAGGAAAGACGUAAAGCAAAUUCAACUACUUUCUCUUUGUUAAUUUGACGAAUGUUUGUUGCUACUUUAGAUUUGGAAUCUCAAAUAGACUUAAAUAACGUGAAUACUAUUGCUUACCAUCAUUUUCUAGGUUAGUCCAAAAAUAAUAAAAAAAUUGUAUGUAAGCUACACAUUUGUGUAUAAAUAAGUUGUAUGGAAACAAUCCUCCUUCACACCCACCAAACAUGGACACUCUUCAUUUCCUUAUUUCACUCUUUCUCUUCUCAUGCUUCCUUCCUCUUGUCUUGUCUUUUUCACCUCCUCAAACUCAUCUCCCUAAGCAAUGCCUUGAUGACCAGAGAUCUCUUCUGUUGAAAUUGCAGCAUCAUCUUUAUUAUGCCCCUAAUUUUACUUUCUCUUCCAAAUUCGAGCUUUGGGAUCCCAACACUGUUUGUUGUUCUUGGGAAGGAGUCACUUGUGAUGCUUAUGGUCAUGUAGUUGGCAUUGAUCUUAGUUACAAAAACCUUUCAGGCAGCUUUCACUCCAUAUUCAAUCUCCAUCAUCUUCAACAUCUGAACCUUGCUGGAAAUAACUUUAAUACCACGUUGUUUUCGUAUGGGUUUGAUAAACUCCAAAAUCUUACUCAUCUCAACCUUUCAAGCUCAUGUUUCCAUGGCCAAAUUCCAAUGAACAUCUCAUUCUUAACAAGGUUAGUUUCUCUUGAUCUAUCCUAUCAAGGUAGUUGCUAUCAAAGAAAUGGUUAUGAUUAUUAUUUACUAUCUCUGAAACUAGAGAAACCAAACUUCAAGACAUUUAUCAAGAAUUUGAAGUUUCUCACGGAGCUUUAUUUGGAUGGUGUCGACAUUUCGACUCAAAGUACUAAAUGGUGUGAAACCACAUCUCUUGUACUUCCAGACCUGCAUGCGUUGAGUCUGUCAAGCUGUGGUUUAGAAGGUCCAUUAUGUUCUUCACUCUCAAGACUCUCUUUUCUUUCCAAACUUGUCCUUGAUGGGAACCCAAUCUCUUAUUUACCUCCCAAUUUCUUGGUAAAUUCCUGUCGUUUGGUUUCUCUCAGUUUGAGGGAUUGCACUUUGAGUGGCCAUUUUCCUACCGGAAUUCUCUUAUUGCCAAAAAUUCAAAGCAUUGACAUUUCAUUAAACUUCCAACUUAUGGGUGAGUUGCCAGAAUUUCCUUCAAACAGUGCUUUACAGAGAUUGUCGCUUAUUUAUACAAAUUUUAGUGGAAAACUACCUGAAUCAAUUGGAAAUCUGAAGUUCCUGACAAAUUUAGAGCUUUCUUAUUGCAAUAUUUUUGGACCCAUUCCAUCGUCAAUUGCAAAUCUUAGUCACCUGGUGAACUUAGAUCUAAGAUAUAAUAAUUUCAGUGGUUUAAUCCCUUCUUUUCAUAGAUUUGGAGUUCCUAAUCUUGUAAAUCUCUAUUUGGAUGGGAACAAGCUUUUUGGGUCAAUACAUUCUUCUUUAUUUACUCUUCCAUCGUUGAAGACCUUGUAUCUUGGAGACAAUCAAUUGGUUGGGAAAAUUGAUGAGUUCCCCAAUGCAUCUUCUUCUUUGAUUGAAGUACUAUAUAUAGGCAAUAAUUAUUUAACAGGACCAAUCCCAAAGUCAAUGCUUCAACUUCCAAGGCU